UUUUUUUUUUUUUUUUUUUAUAGAUUUUUCAUGGUCAAUUUGGAAUUUUCUGGGCUAUUAGUAGAGGGAAGAACCACCCGGUGAAGAAGCAACACUUCUCAAACAUGACUUUUAGAUUAGAAAAGUAGCAGUAGUACGCGUGAAAACUCACGGGGGAUGAAGCGCGUUAUAACAUCCCAUUUUACACUUUGGUUGGAUGAGGAUUGCAUGGUUGACUGCACAGAAGGAGCUUCUAAUCCACCCGUUAAAGGCUUCUGGAAGAGGACUUUCUCUUUUUGGGGAGGGGCGGGAGUGGGUGUUGGGCUUAUCAGUUACUUGAGGAAGUAAUGAUUUUGGUGGAAAACGUUAUCACAAGAGUGCCACUGAGGUUGCGAUUCACAUUUCGCAGAAAUUAAACCAAUCCCAAAAUACGGCCUGAAGCGUCAAGAACUUUAAGAUAAAGAGCUUAAAUUUACGUCUCAACUCGCCCAGAAUUUUACCCAACCUUGAAGGAAGUAGUAGUACAUAAGACACACACACCAAUAAAGUAAGAAAAUAAAAAGACAUUUGACACCCGCUUGUAUCGCUGCCAAUUGCUAAUUUGUUUGAAACUGUAGGCCACACAGAGGAAGGUGAGCUGAGCGUUUUUCAUUGACGACUGAUUAUGUAUUCCUUGCUUGAGGCUUCAGCAAACGACCGAUGAAGCAGCUUAUGGUAUGCAUCUAUUCCUUGCUUGAGGCCUUCAAGUUUGAUCGAUCAGCACAGAUCAGAUGCAUUGGAGUGGAAUACCAACAUACAUGAGUAAAUUCUUAAGUUACUAUGAAAAAAAAAAAUUGUUCUACAAGAGAGGUUAUUUUUGAAGCUAACUCUAAGACUGGAAUCUUCGCAUUUGUGAAAUGCGAGUUCAAGGACUUCGCAUUUGACAAAUGCGAGGUUAGUGCUUUCAGAAGUGUCUUUGGCCAAAAAAAAAAAACCACAAAGCUCGCAAUUGUAAAAUGUGAGCUUUGUGAGCUAUCUUCCCAAAUAGCCGGUGAAUGUUCAAAACAGAGCAGCUCUAACAUUCUAAAUCCCUAACGCGAUUUCGAUUUGGGAACACCAAAACGAAGACGAAAUUGAGGCCAAUACCAAGAGUCAAACCGCUACAAACAUAGCAUUUUAGCAUCAGCUUUCAAACAUUUGAAGGAGUUCCAGAUUUUUUCCCAAUGGCUGCAAAAACUCACUCCAUCUCCGGAAAAGUAGUCGCUGGAAAGCUUGAAAACGUCGACGUGCUUGAGAUAGGUGUUGUUCAUGAUUUGCUGUCAUAACUGUGUGUUUCUCUAAUUUGUUAUUGUUCCUUCCGUUGUCUACUGGAAAUGCAUCAGCCCUGCUGCAUCACUAGGAAUUGCAUCUGCUGUUUCAACAGCAGAAAGCUAGAAAAAGGAAAAUGACCAUCUCGGACCAGUGAAAGUUAGUGUAGCUAGCUAAGUAGUAGCUUUUUAAAAUAUUGCUUCAGACACCGGGAAAAACUAGUUCAAAAAAUGACCUAGUAGCGCAGAAAAGAUAACAAUAGCAUAACCGGUAGUGCAGAAAAGUAAGCAUAACUAGUAGUGCAGAAACUGAGAAAUGUGACCUCGCAUUUGUCAAAUGCGAGGUCGGGCUCUUCUCUCUCUCUUUUUUUUGGAUUUUGUGGAUCAAAAAUUUUAAGUGACUUCGCAUUCAACAAAUGCGAGCUCAAGAGUUCGCAUUUGUUGAAUGCAAAGACCCUUGGACAGAAUUCCAUACUCAAAAUGUCUCCUUUGCAGAAAUUUUUUAAAUUUCAUCAUCAUUUUGGAAAUUUCUCUAGGAUGCUGACCCCCGGCGCGAGGUAGUUUUUACAAGUUAAUCAAAUCCCACCCACAUCUGUCGUUGAUCAUUUCAUUUUUUCCUCAUAAUUGGAAUCUAGGAAGUACCACUUUAGUAAUCCCAUCCUUCUGCAGAGUUAAUUAAUUGAUUGCUGAUAGAGGAAAGCUCAAAUUGAAAUGGAUACAAAAUCUUUAACGUCCAUGUAGAAACCCCAAAAAAAAAAAAAAUAUAUAUAUAUAUAUAUAUAUAUAUAUAAUUCACAACUACAUGAUCAUCAUCAUGAUAGAUGGGAAAAAAAAAAAAGAAUUACAGUACAGAAGAGUGAAUUCAAUACUAUACUAGUGUGCAUGGAAAACCAUUGGAAGCGGAGGAAUUCCGCUUCAUCGUAUACACAAAACUACUAAUCAGUAUACCCAAUAAAUUCGCAACAACGGAGGAAGCUUCAAUAUCUGUCGUCACUUGCAGCUAAUUUGUCGAACUUGUUUCUCUGCCACACCAAUGGUGAGGGUGCAAUCCAUGUUUACGGAUUUCUUCUUCUUGAAGAUGAACAACAGCUCCACCUUUCCAUCCAACCUGGACUGGCUGCGUAAGUUCAAUACCCCAGACCUCAGAUCAUUUCCCAGUUGUGAGUUGCUAGGCAAACUCUUUGACGACAGGUCCACCGAAACAUGAAACUUCUUGGUGGAUCGCCACCCGGCUUUUGACUUGCUGAAAGCGGCUUCCCCGACCCCGGUGUCACCGUAUAAGAAAAAAAUGCUACUAUUUUGGAACUUGUAGUUUCCAAAAUUGGCAUUCUUGACUCCCAGUUCAGCAUCCAUCCUGAAACUGAAGGAAGGGGUUGAGAGGUUCCCAACUUGGAAGGACUCAUCGAAAUCGGCGGACCGCACCCGGAACUUAGGAGUUCUUACUUUCAUAAUGGUGAGCACAAAAAUCAAUAUGACGGCUGUUUGAAACACGGCAAAGGCAGCAACGUAAGCCAAACAUUUCAUGCGCUUCUUCUUGCGCAGCUCGCUGGACUCGAUGUCGUGCUUGGCUUGGUUUGCAUGACCAGUAUAAGGUGAUGAAGGCAUUGUGUAGCGUAUCUCUAAUUCCUAAUGCACUUAACAGCACAGCUGCUCGGGAAACAAUUUAGCGGAGAUUUCAGGCUGAAAAAACUGAUCAAUAUUGUGCUAGAAUUGCUAUGGAUUAUACUAUUCGUGAGUACUGGGAAGAUAUAUACCUGAGUUGUAUGCAUGUAUGUAUAUAUAGGCAAAUGGUGGGAUGCUGAGGAGCACUUGAGCUUGAAUUAGCGUGACGGUGAGAUGUAAGGAGGAAUGGGUCGUAUAUCUCAGCCGCCUGCAUUUGAUGACUUCACAUUCUGAUUCAGGUUGAGACUGGGAAAUUAGUGGAGUACCUAUCAUCUCGGUUAAGAAUUGAAUGGGACGUUUGCUUUUUGGGAUUUUGCUUCAGCCUAAGGAGUGAGGCUUGAGCCCAGCGCGUGAAGUUUUCUAGUAUAUGUCACUAUUGUCUCCGGCUUUUGACUUUUGACUUAAUAGAAGCAUCUGACGGUAAUGCAUCCGAGGAGUCAUUAAGUUACUCUAUAUUAUGGGGUUCAUGCCGCGAGUAAUAAUUUUUUUUUUUUAAUUUAAUUGAAGAAUGUCACGAGUAACAUACAUAUAAUAAAUAUCGAAAAAAUUGUGGAUGGCUGGCCCGGCCCGCGGAAAUGAGGAACCACCUUAAAACAAAAGGCCCGGGUCUUUAAAUCACACUGGAUGGUGCGUACUCCCUCUUCUUGGUGAAUUUGAAAAAAAUUGUCGUCUUUAAUCCUUGAUGCUUGAAGCACUAAAAGAAAAAACUUUUUUAUAAAAUAAAUAACAAUCCACGAAUUACAGCCUUGUUUGGCAGGCAAGUUUUUUGCCAAAUUUGUCUGCUACAAGUUUUUUAAAAACUUUAAUUACAAUAAUCUCAAAAAAUUUUUUACAAUUUUUAAACUAUACACUUCAAAAUAUUCAAAAAAAAGGCACACUUCAAAAAAAAUUUUAAAAAUUUUUACAGUAAGUUACAGUAAAGUUUUAGACAAAUAUCUAAAAAACUCACUUGCCAAACGGGAUCUAUAAUAUGAUGCAUGCUGCAAGUAAAUGCCAGCAAGCAUGAGUGUCUCAAUUUAAAUUUAACUUUUAAAUUUUACACAUGUUACAUGUGUGUGUGUAUAUAUAUAUAUAUAUUCUUAUUAGUGUAUACUUUGUUUUUGCAGGUUGCAGGAAAGAUUUUUGCCAGAUUUAAUGAUGGAAAAGUCCACUUUUAAUGCCAGCGUAUGAUGUUGGUAUUUAAAAGAGGAUUGAGGGUUGGAGCAAGAAUCCUUGGAGCAGAGCCGCCGCAAGUUGCGCCAGGUCUUUCCGACGUUCCUCCAGGCUUUUGCCUUUGUCUCUGUUUUUUGGAUAAUUUUUUGCAUUUUGCUACUCAAAUUCUUCCUUCUUUUUCUGAUCUUUUACCGUAAAAAAAAAAAUUCCUUGGAAAGCCAUGCUCCCUUGCAACCUCAGAGGGAGCAAAUUUCCGAUUAAUAACUGGCAAUAUAUAAGAACAAAAGGUGAACAAAGAAAGAAAAUCUUAGAAACAAAAUAUAUGAAUGAGAGAGAGAGAGAGAGAGAGAGAGAAGGGAAGAAAUAGAGCGAAUUAGAAGGAUUGAAGAAACGAUGUUGGGCCGAUUGAAUUCGUUAUGAUCGUUUGUUCGUUCACCGGUACUUGCUUAGUGGGCUGAUGUGUAUGGAAUGGCAGUACGCAGCCCAAUCCCUUCAUGCAAAUGUUAAAUGUACUCAAUCUUUUUUUUUUUCUUUUUAUAAUGUCAUCCUCAUCAUCAUUUUUUAUGAUGUAAUUUUUAUUUAUUAACCUAUAUGAUAAAAAAAAAAAAAAAAAGUACUAAUAUCAUUACAAAAAAAGCGGAGCGGGAUUAAAUUUUAGACUUGUGGCCAGGCUAAGAUAAUAUUGGAUUCCUUUUUUUGUGCUAGUACCAUUUUUUCUGGGAGAAAGAACAUGGAGGGCAGGGAGAAAGAUAAAUAUUGCAUACACCGGAGGAGCUGAGCUUCCUGACUUUUUAAUCCUUAUUGCAUCAGAAUUCAAGAAAAUAAAUAAAUAAUAAAUUAAAAAAAAAGCGACUCACAGGCUACUCUCGGGCUAUUGGUUUUCCAAAUUUUAUGGUUAUUUUACCUCGUUGCACUUUUACUCUUGUUGAUUUUUAAGCAGUUUUGUUAAUCUGAAAUCCUAAGCAAUAAAAAGUGAGAAUUGACAGAGUUUUAUUUUAUAUACACUUGUAACUUCAACAUUAUAGUAUUUGUGAUGUUACUGCAAUCCUUAGAAAUAAAAUAAAAAAAAAAUUUUUGUUGCAAGAAAAACCAUCCAUGAUCCAACCCAAAAUUAUUUGAAUAUGGUCACAUGAAGACUUGUUUCUGCUUGCUGUUCUUUUUUUUUUUUUUUUGUCAGCAACGAUACAUUUAUAUAACCUACUCUAUCCUAAUCUAAGGGGAGGGAGAGUCUAAGGAGACUGUUGUAGGGGCUAGUGGGUAUACAGACCCAAUUAGACCAAGGGAGUGCUAUAGCACAAUCCUUAGAUUUUUUUCAUUACUGAUGAAGUUUGAACUCUCACCAACAGUCCAAGGACCUCCCCGGUGGCCACUGAGCCAUUGGCCCAGUGGUUUUCUGCUUGCUGUUCACUUUGAAGACUUUUUUGGAUUGUUAUUUUUUGGGGAACAAAAAAUCUUAGGAUUUUAAGCACUGUUCCCUCGACACCUUUUUGGGAUAGCUCAUGAAAAAAAAGUACGUCCGGCCAUGCUGUAUGAAUACAAACUUCAAUCCAAUCAGAUUGUAUCAACCUGUACUUGUAUCGGUAUGUUGUUUUGCCUUUUAAAAUGGUGGUAAUUAGAAAUCUGAAGUUCAGCUUUAGUAACUCCAUACUACUAAUAAUAUACCAGAGUAAUGCAGGGAAGACUCCCCAUCUCUCAUCCUACCACAUCUAGACUUUCCUCUCUUCAUUACUUCCGACUUCUACACAAUCUCUAGCUAUGGAAGUAGAAACCCUAGUUCCCUCCCCGCCUCUCAGAACUUACAAGCUCACGGCUUCCUCAAUUUCCUACGCCAAAAGCACCGCAUCCAGCAAUAUCCCACCAGCCGCCGUCCUCUUCAAACCCUGCGUUUCUUCUCCGCCAACUUACAUAUUACGAGACGUGUCUCUUUCCGCAUAUCCAUCCCAAAUCCUUGCAAUUGUUGGGCCAAGCGGCGCUGGAAAAUCCACCCUGCUUGACAUUUUAGCCACCCGAACAUGUCCUACCGGCGGCACUCUCCUUCUAAAUUCAAAGCCACUCAACCCUUCCGCCUACAGAAAGCUUUCGGCUUACGUCCCUCAGCACGAUGCAUGCCUGCCUGAGCUCACCGUCUCCGAGACUUUCGCCUUCGCUGCUCGCCUCCUCAACCCACCAACAUGCGAAAUUCCGACAAUUGUGGAGUCCCUCAUGGCGGAGCUGAGGCUAACUCACCUGGCCCACACCCGGUUAGCUCACGGUCUAUCGGGCGGAGAACGUCGACGGGUUUCCAUAGGCCUUUGCCUCCUCCACGACCCUGCCGUCUUACUCCUGGACGAACCAACAUCCGGGCUUGAUAGUAACUCAGCUUUCAAAGUAAUGCAGACCCUCAGAUCAAUCACCGACUCGCGUCACCGCACUGUGAUCUUAUCCAUUCACCAACCCAGUUCCAAGAUUCUCUCUACCAUCGAUAACAUCCUCUUAUUAUCAAAAGGAACAGUCGUGCACCAGGGUACGCUCUCUUCGCUCGAAGCCUUUUUGCUGUCCAAUGGGUUCACCGUCCCGCCACAGUUGAAUGCGCUGGAGUAUGCCAUGGAAAUUUUGCAUCAGCUCCAUAAGAACGCUAAACCCGCCGACACAGAUCAGCCAAUGCUUCCUCCGUCACCUUCUAAUUAUAACGUCGAGGUCGUCCGAUAUAGGAGCUCAAGAGUGCACGAAAUAGUCGUUCUGUAUCAGAGAUUUUGGAAGAUCAUUUUCAGGACGAAACAGCUUCUGGUGACUAACACGUUUCAAGCUCUAGGGGUUGGUCUUGUUUUGGGAACAAUCUAUGUCAACAUAGGGUUCGAUAAGGCCGGUAUCGAGAAGAGAUUAGGACUCUUUGCCUUCACUCUCACGUUCCUUCUCUCCUCCACAACUGAAACUCUUCCGAUCUUCAUCAACGAAAGGCCUAUUCUCCUAAGAGAAACUUCCAGUGGGGUUUACAGGUUGUCAUCCUACCUUGUGGCCAACACGCUAGUCUUCCUGCCCUACCUGCUUGCCAUAGCUAUUGUGUACUCGAUUUCGGUUUAUUUCUUGGUGGGGCUUUGUGCUACGUGGCAAGCUUUCGCAUACUUUGUCUUAGUCAUUUGGGUCAUAGUUCUGAUGGCCAACUCUUUUGUUCUCUUUUUAAGCUCCGUGACGCCGAAUUAUCUCUCCGGAACAUCACUGGUGACGGUGCUUCUCGCCGGGUUUUUCCUCUUUUCCGGCUACUUUAUCUCUAAAGAUAGCCUGCCCAAAUUCUGGCUGGGCAUGCAUUACUUUUCCAUGUACAAGUAUGCCCUUGAUGCACUGCUGAUCAACGAGUACUCUUGUCUGAUAUCAAGAUGCCUGAUAUGGUACGAUGAAAACAAGACAUGCAUGGUCACAGGACGUGAUGUGCUGGAUAAAAGAGGGCUCCAUGAAAGGCAGCGAUGGACAAACGUUUACAUCUUGAUUGGGUUCUUUGCUUUUUAUCGGCUACUUUGUUUGAUUGUUUUACUCAGAAGGGUUUCCAGGUCCAAGAAAUGAAAGAAUUCUGGUGGUCACGUGUAUUAUUUAGGUGAUGAAAACAUCUUCACAGUUUGUAAUCAGCAUGUUUGUGCACAAGUGGUUUUGAUCAUUACAGUACCUGUUCCAUGGAGUCUAUGAUUUUAGCAAUUGGCCCUGUUAACUACGUAUUUAGUUAAUCAGAAACCAUCAUAGAUCAAGAAAACACACUUCUUUUCUUAAUUUCUUCGCUUGGUUUUCUUAUAUUAGGUAAACUAAUGAGCGUCUAAUGUGAUUCUUUGCUCCUGCUAAAAGCUAGAACCAUAUGUAACCGCGUUUUUGACCGGGCCGGUUUAGUCCAAUUUGUUGAAAAAGAGGAACUACACUGUACCAAUAAUUUCUUUGGAAUAAUUGAUGGUGCGCAUCAAUUUUGGGCACUCUUUUACACAAUUACAACUUUCACUUCUCAUCACCUGAUGUGUAAGCCUGAAGAUUACAUCCAAAACCGUACAUAUUUCCAUGAAGUUUUUUCUUUUUUUAUGUUAUAUAUUUUAUACAUGUACUUACUCGGGGCCAUCUAUGCUACCAGUUGAAGGGCAUUAACUGGACCCAGAUCCUGUGAGUAUUGUUUUAAGAAAUGAAUAAAUAACACGCAAACCUGCUCGUUGUAUUUUAAUGAAACUAUUUUUCAGUCAGUGUGGGAGGAGCAGGUCCCCUUCUUCGCAACGACUUCUGUGCUUGAUGAUCUCUAAACCAAUGAAGUUUAUUUCAAUAUUUUGCUUAGGAAAAAAGAGAUAAGGAGAGACAAGUUAGGAUUCUUGUUCUAUAUAUUUGUUCCGAAAACAAAAAGACUACUCGAAAAAGUUGCAUCACGAUCCAUUCUGGGCUAAUAAUUCUCAACCUAGAAGUCCCAAAUUAACUAUCAAUUGAGUUGCAGUGAAGGCUGACGCGGCAACAAGACAAGAAUUUUGAGCAGUAGUGAAUUGAAUAAAUGAAGAGAAUAAGAAGUUGGGAUCUCAUCAGCAAUAUAUCCACCCAUGAGCAAAGUCACGGGCUGUUGCUGCACAGAUGAUACCAAGCAAUACGAACAAUACGAGGCUCUCGUCGUUAUUUGCUGAAUGGGGGGAGGCGGGGCCGUUUGUUUGAUCAUUGAUGAUGCAGAUGGUGAAGAUUGAACACUAAAUACAUAAUUUAACUGCUGAAUUUUUGUUUGCAUCCCUACUGGUGAUUCUAACCAGUGUUUCUUCACGGGUUCGUCUUUUUCUCCCCAACACGUGAACUCUUUCGUGAUUUCUUGAUAAUUGCAAGCUGUGACCGAGUGGUGAGUACCUACAACUAUAGCAUACAACUUUUACUCCCUUCCCUUCUUGUCUUUGCUCUUUUUUUUCUACAGCAAAUAAGAUUGAGAAUUCUAUUUGUGACUCCACCCACCCUUUGAUGGUUUAUGCCUUCAAAAUAAAGAAAGAAGGAAGUUGUAAAUUUUGUAAGCAGCUCUCACAUUUAGCAAGGCAUAUUAUUCACAAUGCUUUCACAUUUCUGUUGACAAGUAAAUCCGUAACCGCUAUUCAAUAAUAUGCACUAAAAAAAUCCUACUCUGUGCAAUAACCCGACAUCCACACGAAGAGGUAAGAUGCAUUAGACAAGUUUUGUGUAAUGGGCGGAUGUUCCAACAUUUAUCCUUUACUUCUCGCUAAUCUAUCCAUCCAUGAUUUAUCCUUUACUUCUAGAGGUGUCAAAAUGGGUGACUUGGGUGGGUUUGGGUUGGGUAAAAUGGGUAAUGGGUAUAAGUGAGUCAACUCAUUUAUACCCAUUUAAUUAGAUGGGUAUAAAUGGAUAAGUCAAAAAAUGAAUUGGGUAAUCCAAUUACCCAUUUAUAACUCAUUUAUUUUAAAUUUUUGUAAAUUCAUUUAAAUUCAUUUUUGCAAACUAAGUUAGCAAUUUAUACCACUCUUUGUACCCAUCAUUAGUUUUAAAUAUUUACUUAUAAUGUUCAAUAAACUUAAUUACCAAUUUUUUUUUCAUUUAUACUCUAUGUCACAAAAUUACCUAUUAUUUAAUAAUUGAAUAAUAAGAAUAUAAAAAUUUGAACUGAGUACUAUAAAAAUUAAUAUAAAAACUUAAUCCAAAAAUUUUGAACCCCUAACAUUUUUUUCAUAUAUAAAUUUAAAAUUUCAUUUUAUAAAGAUAAGAAAAUAUGCUAAAAUUUAUCAUAAAUUGGUAAUGCUAAAAAAUGAGCAAGUUAACAAACUAAAAGAAAAUAAAAUAAUAAGAUAAAACCAACAAAUAAUAAUAAUAAUAAUAAUGAAACAAAAGUUGUUGACAUCAUGACAAAAUGAAAAUUUUGAAAAAAAAAAGGUGGGGAAAAGAAAAGACUUGGGGGGAAGAGAAUUCUAAAUGGGUUAAUUGGGUUUGAUGGGUUACCCAAUAAUACCCAUUUAUUAAAUGGGUAUUAUUAGGUAACCCAUUUAUACCCAUAUACAAAAAUUUAAAAUACCCAUACCCAUCUAUUCAUAGGCGGGUAUGGGUAAAUUUAGUUAGGUGGGUUGAUUUGCCACCUCUAUUUACUUCUUACUAAUCUAUUAAUACUUGCAAGCCAUAAAAAAGAACAAAAUUUUCACAAACACCAUCGCUCAAUUUAUAUUUGCAGGUCAAAGUCAAAGUCAUGACAGCGGGGAACAUUCAUUAAUAAUACUGGACCAAAAUAUCUGUUUUCAUCUGCUUUUGGCGUCCAUUUAGUAACAACGUGGAGAAGAAUUUGCAUCAGGAAUCAAAGCUAUACUUGUUUCUGGUCCAAAGCAAAAGAUAUCACACAAUGGAAUAACCUUUGACACAUGCCCGACCACCUGAGAAAAGCCCAUUGUCUAAAUUUGGCCCAUUUUUUCAAAUCCAUGACUGUGUGAUUUUUCCAGCCCAAAAACAAACUGGUUAUGAACCGAAACCAACCGAGGCCGUAAGUUAGAUGAACCUUCGUCAACUUUGCGGCAUUCAUGAUCCAACUACGGUGACCUGUACCUUGAUGGACGAACUGCGUUACGUUAUUUAUUUAUUUAUUUAUUUAUUGGUUAUUAUCACUUUACCCCGUUAACGUUUGGUGUCACUAUCAAUUUUUUCCUUAACAUUAUCUUUUAGUCACUUUACCCCUAAGACUAACGGUCAAAUUUAACGGAGUUUGUUAAUUAACGUAAAAAAGACAAGUUUAGCCCUUAAAGUUAUUAUCAUUUUACCCCCAUAUACUAUAAUCUCAAUAUCAAUUUACCCCAUAGAGUUAUUUUUUAGGCAAUUUAUCCCACUAUUAAACCAACUUAGCUAGUUUAAAAACUUUUAAAAAAAAGUACCCUCUUUUUUUGUAUAACAAAAACAAUAAAAAAUUUAGAGUGGCUCUUCUCCUCUCUAGUAUCAAGAAAAAAAGUCAAAAUAUUAAUUUUUUUCUAGCAAACUUAUUAUUAUUUUAAAAAAAAUAGAAAGGUCGGAAGGGGGAGGGAGAAGGGGAGAGAGAGAGCUCAAUUCUUUUUUUAGAAUAUCCAAAUAAGAAAGAAUUAAAUACUUUUAUUAUUUUAAAAUUAUUUCACUUUACUAUUUACCACCAGAUUGCAAUCAUAAUCCCAACAACCUUAAAUUAAUAUGAUAAUGUUAGACUUUUUUUUCUUUGCAAAAUCUAAUUUUCUGUCUCCUUCUUUCCUGUCUCCUUUUCUUUUUAUAGUAUUAAUAAGUGUGAAAUUUUUUUUUAAGAAAAUCCUUUUAUUUUUCUAUUUUUUGAUCUCUUAAAGUGAAAAAAAAAGAAUAAUCAUUCUAAAUUUUUUAUUUUUAAUUAUAUAUAAGGGUAAAUAUAUUUAAAAUUUUUUACUAUAGUAGUUAGAUUACCGAUGAAGUAAAAUUUCAAAAAAAUAAUGUUAUGAAUUAAAUCAAUUAUAUCACUAUUAUUUAAAGGAAUAAAGUGAUAAUAACAGUGUAAUAAUGCUACAGAAUAAAAGGGUAUUUUUGUCCAAAAUUUCUUAACAUGUUUAGCAGCUCUAUAGUUUAAGGGGAUAAAGUGAUAAUAAUCUCUUAUUCUUCAUUCAUGUGAAACUUUUCUGUUUACUUUCUCAUUUUAUUCAAGAAAUUACUUCCUUCGAUAAGUACAAGCACUAGAUUAAUGAACGCCUAUGAGUGAUUUUCUAAUUCGAUUUGAGUUAGUAGUAUUACUAUUAUCCAAAAGGACAACAAAAUCGAUUUGAAAGCUGUAAAUAAUUAAUUUGCCUGUGUUUGUGUCUACCAAUUAGUAGUACCCCACAAAGGCCCAACAUUCAACUUAAAAUAGCUGAACACAGCUCAUAUGACGGUGUUGGAGUUAGCGGCGGCAUCUGGAAUUGCAUCAGAUGGGAACCAAAUUCAACUGUCUUAACUUCAUGUCUUGCUGUUACCCAAAAAUAUAUAUAUAUAUGAUUUCGGACUUGAUCAGAUAUCGACUCAAUCGAAUUUAGGAUUAAAGGUUAAUAGAUUGGAUCGAAUUUGACAUAGAGUCGAAUCGAAUAAUAUCAUAAAUAUGUCAUAUAUACAUGUAGGCCUGUCAACGGGUCGAGUUUGGGUCGAAAUUCAGUAUUCCGGACUCGGACCCGGCGAUCAUAUCGGACCCGGAUUCGACCCGUUUAUCCGACGGAUCUUCUACUCUAUGUUCCGGAUCCGGAUCCGACGGGUCUCGAAUCCGAGUCGGGCCUACCGGAAAAAAUUAUCAGAAUUUACAAUUUCUAAUAAAAAUGGCAAAAAAAUAUAUAUUUGCAAACUAAUUUCUAACUAAUACAAAAAAAAAAUCAAAUAAAAAAAGAAAUCAAAUUGAUUUUACUCAAAUACAUCACCCUAAUCUAAUUAUAUUGAUAAAUAUAUAUAUUUUAAAUUAUUAAUCCAUUUAUAUCCGGAUCUGGGUCUAAUAUGGACCGGAAUACUAUAUUCUGUAUCCGACCCGUUUUUUUGUUUGACAAAACGGAUCCGGAUCCGAGUCCGGAUAAGGGAAUUAAAUCUCUACCCGUAUCCGCAAAAAAUUCAUAGAUCCGGUUCGGGUCCGGAUCUAGACCCAAACCGUUGACAUGCCUAUAUACAUGUAUAUAUAUAAAUAUAUACCCAUUCCUUUUCUUGUAAAAAUAACCAAGAACCCAAAAUUCACCAAUCAACAAGAAUAAUCAGCAAUCACUUGGCGCCAACGAGUAGCAAAAAGGACUAACCAAAAUUAACAAGUUGCAUGUCCUUUUUAAUCAAGAAAAAAAAAAAGCAAAAUCAGGACUCUUUAUGAUCUUCAGAACAAAUUACACCAAAGGAGAAGUGGCAGCAAAAAUGACGAAAUCCGGCGGCGGUGGAUGACCCUGUUGGUAGCGGCAGUGGUGAUUUGGUGGAGAAGCUAGGGUUAGUUAGGAACGACCGCAGAUAUUCGCAUUUGGGAAACUUCUGCUUGGGUAGAUACUGCUUUGUUUGGAUUGAAUUUUUAUAGAUUUUUUAUAGAAAAAUUACUAUAAAAAUUUGAUAUAGAUAUAUAUAUAUAUAUAAAAUAAAAUGAUGGGUGGAAAUUUUGAUCACGAAAAAAUAAUGUAGCAAUUUUUUAAAGAAGACUUCCAAUCCAAUCAAAGCCGCCCUACUUGUUUGCUUGAUUUAUCGGUCAAGGUCUGUUAUGGUUUACAAAGUCAACUGGUGGACCCGGGGACUUCGGCCCGCCUAUUGGUCCUAGUUAGAAACCCGGACCCCUUUUACAAGGUGUAACGUCUUUUCAACAUGAAUACGUCCAAAAUACAUAGUACUGCAUAGACUCCGCACCCCCCACUAAAAUCUGAUUCCCCUUUCCGCUGUUCCACCUGCAUUUGCACGCUACCAUACUGACCAUCACAUGUGUACAACAAAGACCCAAGAACAUUCAGUCCUUGAUCCUCAAGUAAACAUACCAGCACUUCUUCUAUAAAAUUAUUAUAAAAUUAAUUCAUGGUUCAAUUUUCAAACCCUUUCCUCUUUCUUCCUUCCCACUUCUACUAUGUAAGAAAAAAAAAUGCAUAAAUAAAUAAAUAAUGAAUCUGACCUGAAGACCCGACCCGGUUUGAGAUGCAUGCCUGGGAGACUUGCGGCAACUGCUCCUAGCAAGGGUCAGCCGCAAGUUUGACUUAUAGGACUAGCCAAAUCCGAGACAUGGGCGAGUGCAACACUUGUUUCCAUGAUGACGCUGCUGUCAAACACUCAUUUGGGAAAAAAUCCAAAGAAUUAACAGAGCGACAUAAUACGUUUUUGAGGGUUCCGAGGAAAGCCUCAAAACCUUAACUCAGAUUCUACUAGUGCUUCAUUAUUUCGGAUUAAAAUUCCGUGUCAACUCUCCUCUCGAGGGGUUUGCCGUUUGAUGAGGGUCCAAACUGGUUUUGUGUUCCGGUUCCCUUCGAUAAAAUUGGUUCUGUCUGUGCAAGUAUGCAAAUGCAACAGCCCCUUUCCGUCUUCAAUUAAUUCAUUGACACCCGAACUUUCUUGUGACAAUUUGAAGUUUCAUAAACUAAACAUACUGUCAUAUGUUAUACUCAAAAUAUAUUUGUUGACAUUUAUAUAACAAUAAAUCCUUCCAGUAACAAAUAUAGCUGGAGUGUUUGCACAAAUAAACCCAUUCAUAGGGUUUAUUAGUUUAUUAUUGCAGUGAGACUGGUGCAAGAAAAUGCGGCUAAUUCCCAGCUUACUCCAGCUUCCUCCAGGAUUCUACCAAUUUGGCCAAUGCCACAGUGGAUGAGCCCCCAUCAGCCAUUGCUUGCUUUGCUUCCUCUUUCUUUGCCUGGGCUCUUUGCCUGAUCACCUUUGCUUCUUCCGAAUCCAUCAACCCCCUAACUCGCUUCUCGAUUUCAGCCGCUUUCACGAACCCACCUUCCGUACUUUCAUCCAUUGGUAAGGCCAACUUCAUCUCCUCAACUAAGAACAGCUUAUUCAGCUUCUGCUCAGCAUAAAGUGGCCACCCCACCAUAGGCACACCCGCACGGACUGCUUCCAACACUGAGUUCCACCCGCAGUGGGUCACAAACCCACCCACCGACCCAUGAUUCAACACAUCCACCUGCGGUGCCCAAGAACUCACCAUGAAACCCCUAUCCUUUGUCCGGUCCAAAAACCCGUGGGGAAGCAACAAAUCCAGACCUGGGGCGGGUGGAGUUUGAAAGCGGCUGGUUUUGUCCUCAGAAGGUGGACUGCGCACCACCCACAGGAACUUUUGCUCGCUCCUCUCCAACCCGAUGGCUAUCUCUUUCAGUUGCUCAGCUGGAAAUCGACCCAAGCUCCCAAAGCACAAGAAUACAACGCUUUGACUUGGUUGCAUGUCCAGCCAUUUCAAACAUUCAUGCACACCUCCUCCUGUUUCACCUGCUGCACCUCCACCUUUCCCGUUGUCUGAUGCAAUCAGAGGUCCUAAGCUGAAAACAGGCGGAGUGGGGCCAUCCGGAACAUACUUUCCAUCAGCGAUUGAUUUCAAGAUGUUAGGUUCGAGCGAUUCGAACGUGUUGACUAGGAUCCCCGACGAAUUUGCCAAUUGCGUCGCAGCAUCUAAGAAAAAUGCAUACUCAGGAGACGUUCUUUCCAGCAAAGGAACUGGCAUGUCUCGUGGUGGUAUUGGAGGUAAAUCAGGAACAUGUAAAAGUUCGCCCAGGUCUUUAUAGCUUUUGUUUGUUGAUUGGUGGAGCGUGCGUAAGUAAAGGAGGAGAGCGAGACAAUUAGCGCCAGAAGUGAAGAAGUAAUAAGUCGGGAUUCCAAGGUUGGUCGCAACAGAGAGGGCACAAGUGCAAAAGAAGUCGAUGAUGAAUGCAGAGAUUCCAGCUGUCAAGGAGAUGGAGUGCAGAGCUUGGUGAACAUGAGGGUUGCUGAGUCGAAGGAGCUCGAAGUGGAGAGCUUCUAUGGAGGGGUAAGAGUCAGGGUCAAGAGGCGGAGAGGGCAGGUGGUGGAAAGUGAUGGAAGGGGUGGUGGCAGAAAUGCGAUUCAUGUAAGCAGCAGUGGAGGCUGCAGUGUUGUAUGGCGGGUUCACCACGAGAAUAGUAACAGCCAAUCCAGGGUGGUGGUUGAGAGUGAACUUACCCAGCUCCACCAUGGAAACCAGGUGACCCAUGCCUGGAGAUGGAUACAGAACUAUAGUACGAUUACUCGCCAUCUCUCUAUCUCUAUUUGUUCGUACACCCAAUUUCCACAAUGCUACGCGACUCUUUGAGCCAAUUGAGAGCCUCAAAAUUCCAAGUUCCAAAUAAAUAGAGAGUAACUUCCUUCAACUUUCCAUAGCCAAUAAAUGCAAUCAACUGACUAUGCUUUGUCAAGUUACCGUAGGCAAAAUCAAGGGAUAAUUUCAGAAACCUCCCCUGAGGUUUAUGACAAUUUCACAUAGCUCUAUUAAGGUUUGAAAAAUUACACAUAUCUCUCUUGUUAUUUAAAAUGACAAUACUACCCUUAAAUUUCCUUGUUUGAUAUGCUUAUACUUAGAAUGAAUUUAAACUUAUUUUUCAUUCUUUUUCCUUUUUAUUUUAUUUUUUUGCCAAUAAAAUUAUAAAAUUACUACUAUUAUCUCUAGUUUCUAUUGUGAUCAAAUGUCGAACUAAUGAUUUUUUUUAUGAGUUAACUUUAUAUAUAAUCCAAUGUUUUUUGCUAAUCUUUGUUUUUUAUUUUUUGGUAUUAAAAUUAACAAUAAAUCAAAAAAAAUUGUCCAAAAUCACUACUAAAUUAUGAUAAUUCUACUACUCAAAAAAUUCAUAAACUCUGAAUCAAUUAUUUUAAUAUUUUAUUUUCUAUAUUAUAAUAUAAAUUCAUAAUAAAAUACCAUCAAAAGUAUUCUAUCAUAGUGAUAAAUUAUUAUUAUAAUUGUUUAUUAAAUAGUAGGUAUGGACAUGAAAAAUUUGGCACCUUUUCCUUAUAAUUACAUUAGAUAAUCUUAUAAUUCUAUAGAGAAGUAAUUUAAAACUUAUUACACAAGUGCAUUUUUGGGUAUUCAUUUAAAAAUUUGAUUAAAUCAAUAUUAUUUUAUGAUUUUGUUACUAACACUAUUAAAUCAAGGGAGGUAUGUACAGUUUUUUAAAUUUCGAAGGAGCUCAGUGAAAUUGUCAGAAACCUCAGUGAAAUUUUUUAUAAAUAAGGUUCAUCAAAAUUACAUUUCAUCCUUAGUUUUAUAUUCAUUAAACUUUUAACCUUCUUUUAUUAAUAAAUUGAUUCAUUUUUUAUAAAAUAAAAUAAAGCUUUAGCUGAUUAAAUGAGUAUUUCUUUGGAUUUGUAAGUACACUCAACAAAUUAAUAAAUUAAUAAUUUAUUGAUUAAUUAAUAAUACUUUUUAAAUUAAUAGAAUUUGCAAGGUCCCAAAAUUAUUAAUUUAUACAGAUUUUACUGUAGUAGUUAAAAGAUACUAUCCGACUCGUUAUGAACUCUUGGGCGUCUGUCGUGAGCAAGUUUGUUUUUAUAGGUCGAAAGAGGUAUACCGAUUGGCUAUAAAAUGUAGUAAAUGGUAUAAAUUAAGUUGGUAUCAUGCAUAGAAAAAUGGUAGCUUAUGCAUAUAGAGUCAAUCAAGUAGCAAAUUGGAGACUAGAAAGCGAGGCGCAACAAAAUGGACUAUGUAGCUUCUGUUUUUGGUUUGCUUUAAUUAACUUUAAAUUGCAUACGGAGAAUGAAGGCUGAAAACGUUGUUGAAGGGUUUUAAAGGUUUGCCACUAUAAGAGUUUGGGAGAAACAAGCGAGAUUCAGUUUGCUCAAAAAAAAAAAAAAAAAAAAGGAGGCUGGACACGGCGACCACUUUUAGAAAAGAGAAAAUUCCCUUAUUUAUAAAUUGGUCCAGAACCUUAAAAUAAAUAACAAGCCCGUCAUGUCCAUUGGACACGGUUAUCACUUUAAAAAAAAUAUUCUUCAUUUAUAAAUUGGUCCAUUGACCUUAAAAUAAAUAAAAGCAAAUUAUUUGGAUAGUCACUAAACUUUUUAAAUAAUAGUUGAGUUUUAGUCACUUAACUAUUAAUAGUAUAUUUUUACACACUAAACUAUUAAAAAUAUAAAUUUUGAAUCAUUCUAUCUGAUUCCACCAUUAAUUUUGACAAAUCCAAAUAUUAAUAGUAUAUCUAAUAAGUUAUGUGAAUUUUUAGAUCGGACAGAAUUAACAGUUGAAUCAAAUGAAACAGCACAACAUUUACACACUUAAUAUUUCAAUGGGUAAAAAUAUAUUAUUAAUUGUUAAGUGAUCAAAUCUUGACUAUUUAAAAAUCUAGUAGUUACCCUGGUAAUUUGCUCAAAUAAAUAUCUUCCCAAGGAAAUAGGUGGAAAGGUUUCACAAGAAAGUAGAAGAGAUGUCAACAACAGCAAAAUAUCAGGCAGCUUAUGGAAGCAGUUAAUUCCUUUAAAUACUCACUAAACUAGGUACUAGAGAGACAUUCCUUCAGCAUUCCAUCAUUCUCUGGUUUUAACUACAUUAAGGUGGCGUUUGGAAAAUAGGGUUUCGGAAUGGAGAAUUGGAAUAAACCCCAUGAUUUAUGUUUGGUUCACUACUAUCGGAAUUGAAAUUUUGGAAUGAUAGUUAAAAUUUAGCAUUUCACCAUUCUUUAGUAAGUUGGUGGGUUUUGUCCAAAACUCAAGUGUGAUUCUAAAAUCUUAUAAUUGCAUAAUAUUUAGUAUAAUUAAUAUUUAUAUAAAUUAUAUAUAUUAUAUAUUUAUAUUUAUAUUAUAAUAUAUACAUAUAUAUAUGAUAUAUUAUAAUUAUAAUAUUUUAUUAUAAUAUUAGUAUAUUAUAUAAAUAUAUAUUAUAAUUAUAAUAUAUACAUAUAUAUGAUAUAUUAUAAUUAUAAUAUUUUAUUAUAAUAUUAGUAUAUUAUAUAAAUAUAUAUUAUAAUUAUUUAGUUAAAUAUAAUUAUAUUUAUAUAAUAUAUAUUAUACAUUUAUUAAUAUUAUAUAAUAAUAUAUUUAUAAUAUAUACGUAUAUUUAUAAAUGUAUAUUGUAUGUGCAUAUAAUUAUAAUAUAUACAUGUAUAUAAUAUUAAUAAAUUAUAUAAUAAUAAUUAUAUUAUUUUAAAUAUAUUAAUAUAUAAUAAUAACUAUAUUUAAUAUUAAUGUGCAUUAUAUUUAUAUAAAAUAUUAGUACAAUUAAUAUUUAUAUAUUAUAUAAUUAUAAUUAUAUAUUUAUAUUAUAACAUUUGUAUAAUUAUAAUUAAUUAUAUAAUAUUUAAUUUAAUUAGUUACAAACUUAUAAUAAUGAUAUUAUUAUAUUAUUAUAUUAUAUAUUAUAUAUUAUAAUUAUUUAGUUAAAUAUAAUUAUAUUUAUAUAAUAUAUAUUAUAAAUUUAUUAAUAUUAUAUAAUAAUAUAUUUAUAAUAUAUAUGUAUAGUUAUAAAUGUAUAUUAUAUGUGCAUAUAAUUAUAAUAUAUACAUGUAUAUAAUAUUAAUAAGUUAUAUAAUUAUUAUUAUUAUUAUUUUAAAUAUAAUAAUAUAUAAUAAUAACUAUAUUUAAUAUGUAAUAUAUAUUAUAUUUUUAUAUAAAAUAUCAGUAUAAUUAAUAUUUUUAUAUAUUAUAUAAUUAUAAUUAUAUAUUUAUAUUAUAACAUUUGUAUAAUUAACAUAUGUAUUAUAUAAUGUAUAUUAAUUUAUGUAAUAAAAUUUAUAUUAUCAAUUAUACUAAUAAUUAUACAUGUUUACUAAUAGAAAUUAUUAAUUAGUUAUACUAAAUUUACUAAUAUUUUUAUACUAAUAUAUUUAAUUAGUGAAAAUUUCUUAUAUCCCAUUUACAAAGAACCAAUGACUAUCAUUUACGAUGUGAUUUAUAAUAUAUUUAUUAUAUUCCAUUCCGAAAGAGCCAACGAACCAAACAUCAACUAUAGUAAUGAUACACAUUCCAGGUACUUGAACCAAACAGAUGUAUUGGAAUGAAUGACUUUAUUCCAAACCCAGGAUAUCCGAUUCCAAAUUCGAAUCCGACUCCGAUGUGCGAACCAAACGCCACCUAAAACCUUUGUACGUGUCUUUCCAAAAACUAUAAAAGACCUAUUUGAGUCAAACAAACCACAAAAGUGAAGUUUGAACUUUGAAGAAAGAGCAGCAGAUUUACGAGACAAAAGUGAAGUUUGAAGAAAAAGCAGCAGAUCUAAAAAGUUAACAAAACAAAAUUUAAACUCGUUGCAUCACGAGACGCACACAGACCUACAGAUUUGCUGCCAAAGAAUUAAACAAUAAUCGGUACAAGUCACAAAAGAAUUGACAAUGCAUAUAUAUCAGCCAAUUAAUGAUACUAUGUUAAGUACUGAAUGACACCCUGCGACUUACCUAAUUGGAUUUCCUGGUGAAUACAGUCGAUUCUUGACAACAUACUCGACAUACAAGUUGUAUAUGUGCUCGGGGGAUUCCCUUCAAUCACCUGUCCUAGGAUGAGUUACCAGGAUGACCUGUAAAACCAAUAAAUACAUGGGGAAGAAGAGAUUUUUCAUGUUCACAAGAGAGAGUUUUUCAACUUGUCAUGGAAAAAAGCUAUGCUAACUGCCAGCAAGUGAUAGUCAGACAACAGAUAAAUGUCUUGAUACUCUUGCUACAUAGCCAUCUAUAUGAAUGCAAGCAUAUAUACUCAUGCAAUCAUCUGGACAGACCUUAAUCCCAGAUGGAAAGUUAGUAGGUAUUAGUGCGGAAGCUGUGAAACGAACAUCCCUGUCCAGGUAAUUGUGGGACUCCAAGAUUUCCUUUGUCAACGCUGCCAAAGAGAUCAAACAAUAAUGUAAGAAAGUAACUCUUAUUAGUAUGUCUUCAAAGAUAUGAUUAAGAAACAUUUUUAUACCAGGACAAUAAUGAGAUGCAAAACUAGUCUUCAGGAUUACUUUCAAUUCGACCAAAAAAUGGCCAAUCCUUUCUGGUAAAAAUUCUCACAUCAGACCAUCAAGCUGCUACUAUGGGUGGUCAUUUAAGGUGCACAUGUAUUGACUCAUGAACUUCUUUAUAUACAUCAACAAAACUUCUUUAUAUACAUCAACAAAUGCGCAUGUGUUUACCACCACUAUGCUCAUCAAUCACUCUUGUUUUUUACACGAUUACAAAAGAAUGCCCAAACUUUAGUAAUGCCUAUCAAAGUACUUGUGAUCAUGAGGCAGAUUAUUAUCUUUCUCCUUGGGCAUGAACCUCGUAUUAAACUGCCUUGACAAUGGCCUGACAGUCUGGUUGGAGAAAUGGAUCAUCUUUUUCGGAAUUAAAAAGCUAGAAAAGAAAAAUUGUAAUGCUAAUGCACGUUAUGGAGGCCAAGUUGAUUAUCAGACAACUUGGGGGGGGGGGGGAAUUGGGAUUAACCAAUACGUAAGUUGAAUCAAGCGUCAAGUGCAAUAACAAAAGAAAAAGGUCGUGUAAUUAUUAGAAACGAAAAAAUAUAUACUUGUGGAGUUGAGCAACAGGGGGAUGGGAGGAACGAGGAUGAGCAGCGACAGCUAGGGACCGGGAAGGGUAGUGGACAAUGGCUUGGCUUGGCUUGGCUUGCUGGCUGGCUGGCUGGUUAGAGAGGAGCGGAGGGGAUCGGGCUAUUAGGCUACUGGCAGUAAAUUUUACUACUGCUAAACAUUUUUUAUGUUUUGCUUUUCAAGUUUGGGAUAAAUUUGGGAAUCAUGGUUCCUGAAAACCUACCAAUCAUCAUUCCUCCCUUUGCUGUUUUUUCUUUUGAUGGAGAGCUGAAAACCUCCCAAUCUAUGCGGGUACAGCCUACAGAGUUUUGAUGAAUCUUUCCAAAAAUCUCAUACCCACGUGGCCAUACCCUGUUGCCAAAACUUAGGGCCUGUUUGGAACUUGAAUUUUUUGGAAGUUUGUCUAAAACUUUACUGUAGUGCACUGUAGAAGUUUUUGUAAGGUGAAAAACUUUUUUGUAGAAGUUUUUGAAAUGUUACUGUAGACGUUUUUUGAAUUAUUUUUAGAGGUAUUUUUAAAACAUAUUUUUGAGUAUUUUAUAAUUUUUAUAUUCUUAAACAUUUAUGCAUUUAUAAUACAUUUAUAAUAUUUAGAAAUAAAUAUAUUUAUAUAAAAAUAUAUAAAUGUAUUAUAUUAUAUAUAAUAGGUAAUAUACAUAUAUUUAUAAAUGUAUAAAUAUAUAAUUAAUAUAAAUGUAUAAAUUAUAAAUGAAUAUUAUAUAAAUGUAUAAAUUAUAAUUUAUAAUUUAUAUAAUAUUCAUUUAUAAUUUAUACAUUAUAUUAAUUAUGAUAUAUGUAUAAAUGUAUAAUUAAUAUUGUUUAUAAUUUAUAAUUUUUAUUGUUUAAAUAUUUAUAUGCAUUUAUGCAUUUAUAAUACAUUUAUAAAUAUUUAUAAAUAAAUAUAUUUAUAUAUUUAUAUAAAAAUAUAUAAAUGUAUUAUAUUAUAUAUAAUACAUAAUAUACAUAUAUUUAUAAAUGUAUAAUUAAUAUAAAUGUAUAUAUUAUAAAUGAAUAUUAUAUAAAUGUAUAAAUUAUAAUUUAUAAAUAUAUAUGAUGAUUAUAUAUAACUGUAUUAAUAUAAUUAAUAUAAAUGUAUAAAUGUAUUAAUAUUAUGUAUAAAUGUAUAAUGAAUAUUGUUUAUAAUUUAUAAUUUUUAUUGUUUAAAUAUUUAUAUAUAUUUAUGCAUUUAUAAUACAUUUAUAAAUAAAUAUAUUUAUAUAGUUAUAUAAAAAUAUAUAAAUGUAUUAUAUUAUAUAUAAUACAUAGUAUAAAUAUAUUUACAAAUGUAAUAAUUGUAUAUUAUUAUAAAUGAAUAUUAUAUAAAUAUAUAAAUUAAUAUAUUAUAAAUAUAUAAUAUUAUGUAUAAAUGUAUUAAUAUAAUUAAUAUAAAUGUAUAAAUGUAUUAGUAUUAUGUAUAAAUGUAUAAUUAAUAUUGUGUGUUAAUAUUAUGUAUAAAUGUAUUAUGUUAUACAUAAUACAUAAUAUAAUUGUAUAUAAAUAUACAUAAAUAUAUAUACAUAAAUGUGUAAUAUAUAUAAUAUGUAUUAUAUAUAUUAAAUAUAUAAUAUAUAAUAUUUAUAUAAAUGUAUAAUUACAUAUUUAUGUUAAUAUUAAUUUAUAUGGUAUAUAAUAUUUAUAUAAAUAUAUAAAAAUAUAUUUUAAAUAAAAUAAAAUAUUUAUAAUAUGUUUAAAUAAAAUGAAAUAUUUAUAAUAUGUUUAAAUAAAUAUAUAAAUAUAUAAUAUAUAUAAUAAAUUUUUGAGGGUGAGGGACUCAAAAAUUCAAAAAAAAAUUUUGAGGUUACCGGCAGCGCCGGAAUAGGUGAUCGGCGCUGGGAGAGGUGGUGGAGGUGAUGUCUGGUGUGGUGGGUUGGGUGAGGGAGGAAAAAAAGUUUUUGAGAAAUUUUUUGUGUAUAGAUUUUUGAAGUGUGUAGGUAAAAAACUUUGAAAAGUUUUUUAAGAUUCCUGUAGCAAAAGUUGUUAAAAAACUAGUAGCUAAAAAACUUGGUAAAAAACUAGGAUGCCAAAUAGGCCCUUAAUUUCCAUGCCUUUUGCUUGACUAGUGGUUAAUUGAUUCAAAUCUCAACCCCUCUAUAUUUUGUUUUCCUGGAGUCCUCAACAACAACAACAACAACAACUGCUACUACUACUACUAGUUUUAUUCACAAUCACUAAUGUUUAAGGCACACUUGUUGCCUGCACAACUAACAAAAAAAUUAUAUAAAAUUUUUUAAAUAUUUGUUAAAGUCAUUCUUAUGAGGCAAUUUUAUAUUUUUUGUAAUACCUACGGUGAAAAAUUCACGAAAAUAAACUAUGCGAAAUGUAAAUAGAUAGUUGUUUGAUAGUGGGUAGUAAUCAAAAAAAGAGAAAGAGGGAGCUAGUGGAUAGUUAGUUAUAAAAAGUACUAAUUUAGAAAUAUCACAAAGUGACAGAUUUUAGUUUACACAAAAAAAAACCUCCUCUUUUUUGUAUAUGGUACAUAGAUAAUUAUUACUGUUUUUAUAAACACUCUAACUUACCAAUAUGUUCAAAUGCCAUAGUUAUAAAACUUGACCUGCCUCAACAGUUAAACUGGUCAACUCGGUGAACGGAUCAUAGGAUCGAUUUGGAUUGUUAAUCAAACCUAUUGACCCGUCAAUGAUCCGACGUUUCAAUUGGUCAAUCGAAAAAAAAAAUCGUCAAUUAAGUUGCCGACUAACCACCAAUACAAAAAUUAUGUUGUAUUUAUAAUUUAAAAUAUAUUAUAAUAUUACAUAAUAUAACUAUUAUGCAACCCAGAGCUCGACCACCUUUCGGAUUGAGCUCUUAACGGGGUUUAAUAACUAUGGUCCUAAGUCAAUCUAUUUGAAAAUGCUAUAGUAAUUGAGCAUUCUUUUUCCUUCUAUUUUUUGAAACUUACAAAAAGAAAAAUGGAAGUAUCAUCGCUCAAUUUAUAUUUGCAAGGUAAAGUCAAGGUCAUGACAGCAGGGAACAUUCAUUCGGACUGGACCAAAAUAUCUGUUUUCAUCUUCUUUUAGCGUCCAUUUAGUAACAACGUGGAGAAGAAUUUGCGUCGGGAAUGUGAAGAACUCGGAAUCAAAGCUAUGCAUGUUUGUGGUCCAUAGCAAAAGAUAUCACAUAAUGGAAUAAACGUUGACACAUGCCCGACCACCUAAGAAAAGCCCAUUCUCUAAAUUUGGCCCAUUUUUUGCAAAUGCGUGACUGUGAUUUUUCCAGCCCAAAAACAAUCGCUCGUCAUGUAUCGAAACUAGAAGAGCCUUCUUCAACUUUGCGGCAUUCAUGAUCCAACUACGGUGACUUGUACCUUGAUGAAUGAACUGCGUUGCGUUAUUUAUUUAUUUAUUUAUCAUUCAUGUCAAACUUUUCUGUUUACUUUCUCAUUUUAUUCAAGAAAUUACUUCCUUCGAUAAGUACAAGCACUAGAUUAAUGAACAUAUACGAGUGAUUUUCUAAUUCGAUUUGAGUUAGUAGUAUUAUCCAAAAGGACAACAAAAUCAAUUUGAAAGCUGUAAAUAAUUAGAUGGGGGCCAAAUUAUCAACUGUCUUAACUUCAUGUAUUGCUAUUACCCAAAAAAAAAAAAAAACUAUGUUUUCGGAGUCGGAGACUCAACCGAGUUUAGGAUUAAGGGUCAAUAGGUUUGAUCGAAUUUGAUCUGAAGUUGAAUCGAAUAACAUCAUAUAUAUGUCACACACACACACACACACACACACAUAUAUAUAUAUAUAUAUAUAUAUAUAUACCCAUUAUUUUUCUUGUAAAAAUAGCCAAGAUCCCAAAAUUCACCAAUCAACAAGACUAAUCAGCAAUCACUUGACGCCAACGAGUAGCAAAAAGGCCUAACCAAAAUGUUUAAAAGCAUUAGGCUUAAUUAUUGAUCCCAGAAAACAAAUUUUGCAUUAGUUGAUUGUCCUAAUAAAUCUUGACUUAACCCAAAAAAAAGGUAUAAAAAACAAGUAAAUUGGUAUGUUUUGUCAUAUAACCUAUGAGAUUAGAAAUAGGGAUAAUUUCAGAUACCUCCCCUGAGGUUUCUAACAGUUUCACUCCCCUCCCCUGUGGUUUCUGAAAUUCCACAAACCUCCCCUAAAACUAGAGGUGUCAAAAUGGGUGACUUGGGCGGGUUUGGGUUGGGUAAAAUGGGUAAUGGGUAUAAGUGAGUCAACUCAUUUAUACCCAUUUAAUUAGAUGGGUAUAAAUGGGUAAGUCAAAAAAUGAAUUGGGUAACUCAAUUACCCAUUUAUAACUCAUUUAUUUUAACUUUUUGUAAACUCAUUUAAAUUCAUUUUUGCAAACUAAGUUAUCAAUUUAUACCACUCUUUGUACCCAUCAUUAGUUUUAAAUAUUUACUUAUAAUAUUCAAUAAACUUAAUUACCAAUUUUUUUCAUUUAUACUCUAUGUCACAAAAUUACCUAUUAUUUAAUAAUUGAAUAAUACGAAUAUAAAAAUUUGAAUUAAGUACUAUAAAAAUUAAUAUAAAAACUUAAUCCAAAAAUUUUGAACCCCUAACAUUUUUUUCAUAUAUAAAUAUAAAUUUUCAUUUUAUAAAGAUAAGAAAAUAGGCUAAAAUUUAUCAUAAAUUGGUAAUGCUAAAAAAUGAGCAAGUUAACAAACUAAGAAAAAAUAAAAUAAUAAGAUAAAAUCAAUAAAAAAAAAAAAAUAAUAAUAAUAAUGUUAACAUCAUGACAAAAUGAAAAAUUUGAAGAAAAAAAAGGUAGGGGAAAAAAAGAGACUUGGGGGGAAGAGAAUUUUAAAUGGGUUAAUUGGGUUUGAUGGGUUACCCAAUAAUACCCAUUUAUUAAAUGGGUAUUAUUGGGUAACUCAUUUAUACCCAUAUGCAAAAAUUUAAGAUACCCAUACCCAUCUAUUCAUGGACGGGUAUGGAUAAAUUUAGUUAAGUGGGUUGAUUUGCCACCUCUACCUAAAACUAAAUAGGCAAUGUCAAAAUAGACCCAAUUUAAAAAUGAAAACAAUAAAAAAUCAGUAGCUGGAGAGAGAAACAAGUGUAUACCACAAAUGCCCUCAUUAUCUUGGGUUAGAAAGCUAAUCUGAUGUGAAGAAAAAGGAGGGAAUUCAAGAAGAAUGAAACUUGAGGGGAUGUAAGUGAGACCAAUGCAUUCAUUGAGGUGUGAACGUCAGUAGUGAACAAAAUGGAAGGCAACGGCUCUUUCUGGCAGUCAGUUCAUCUUCCUUCUUUGUACGUCUCUUCUUAGGCUUGGCACUGGAUGAAUUGUGUUCAACUGAAUCCUUUCCAUUUGUUCCUUCUGAGUCAUAAUUUGAAGAUUUAGUCAUUCCAUCCACCUUAACUUCAACUUCAUCACCAAUAUGCUUAUUAGCUAUCUCAAUGUCUAAAAAUGAAAAUCUCCUGAAAUUGCAUAAAAACCUGUUGAUUGAACCAGAAAGUUGUCUUCUUUGGGAUGCAAACAAUCAAGAGCAGUAACAAGGAGUUCAGAGAGUAUUUCAGCCGAAGACGCCUUAAUAUCCUUCACUUUGCCAAGCAUAACAGAGCAAUUAGUAGAUCUAUGUGGCCCAACUUUCCACGAUUUCUUAUCACCAUUUGAUUGUCCUACUCCUCCACCCCAUAAGGAAGAAGCGCAGCAGCCACAAUCAUUCCUUCUUCAUUCAAAAUAUUAUAUGUUGAUGCAGCAUUUCUCUGCAAUAUGAGGAAAAUAAGAAACUAGAAAAACUUAUGCCAGGCCAACACAAGUGCAGAAGAGAAGCAAAAAUCGACAAAAAAUGCUUCACCAAAAUUUGCUGUCUAAGAAUAAACUACUGCCGGUUCAAGUAGAUUGAGAUACACAAAAGGCUAAGUCAUCAAGGUAUGAGCCAAAUCUCUAUGUCCACAGACAGCACUGCUAUGCAUGUUACAGAUAUUAAGACAUCAAGAAAGCACAAAACUCAUACUGGAAGGCACUGUAGAAUGCAAGCAAAACAUCCAGAUAGAAUCUUGUUAAAAGAUGUAGAUAUAAACACAUGAAAUCUAGAAGGGUGCUGGUUGUAUGAAUGAACGUUUGAAGAAAUUCAUGAGUUAUAAUGAGUUUGCAUUAAGCCUGAUUGUAUAAUCUUUAUCAAUCAUUGAUUAAAUCCAUCUGCAUUUACUAUGAAACCAGAACAAGUUUACAAACAGUAAUUUACCAUCUGUAAGAAAAUCAAAGCAGUACACUUACCGAAUCAAUUGCUUCAAGAUUCAUGCCCAUAGACCGAAUAAAUUGCCGAAGGUCAGGACUUACUGGCUGGAUAUGCCUCCCACAACCAAGAAUUAAUAUUCCUGAUAUCAUCAGCAGAUAUAGAAAUUAACAACUGAAUGAACAAAGCUUAUGGCAAAAAAGUGAUUCACUGAAACUAAUUUACUACUACUACUUCAAUAGGACCACAUCUGUCGACAGGUUCACCAAAUCUGUCAAAAGCUGCGCACAAGACACUAGUGUGUAAAUCUUGUUUCCAGUUCAGAACUAGUACAAGAGCUGAUCAAAGAUUAAAAAAAAAAAAGCUGCUCAACCCCAACAUUAAAAUAAAUUUGUGGUUUGUAACAAUGAAUGCACGCUUUGUUCAAUGUCAAUAGAAGGAAAGGGCUAUAGGCCCAAUGAAAGAUUUCAGGAAAACCAAAACUAAGCCAAAAAAAAAUGUCUGAGCCAAAAAAAAAUGUCUGAGAGGCAUUCCUUUGGCGAAAUUCUUCAAGAAAGGCCCUGAGAGACUGAACAAACUCUGGAAAAUCUAUCUCCUCAAGCGCCUUGAAAACAUCCUCGGCAUUUAUUAUCUGCCUAUUCGACUCCUUGCAUAUAUCAUUUGCAACUGCGGUGAGGUAGUGGAUGAAGAUGCGACCACUUUUAGAGAAGGCCUGCAGGGCUUCGCGGAAAACGGAGAUUCAGACUCGGCAGAGAGCUGAGAGAGCUUAUCUUUCACCAGCCGCAGGACAAUUGUCUUCGGCAGCUCCUCUAAUUCCCUAGCCGUCGAUUCCGUCACCGUCGUCACUUCACCAUUCUCCUUCGCUUUCUCUUUCUCUUUCUCUUUUUCCACCAUUCCUACAUAAACGUAUCACACACGUGCUCUCUGUUACUCUAAUUUAUUGUUAAUUACAUUAAUUGUGUUUAUAACUAACUUAACUAAAUUUUUUGAGAUAAUCACGAAAUAUUAGCAAACUUGUGAGGGUAUUUAAGUCUUUUUGACACCAAUGAUGUAAGAAAUGGGACCUACUAAUCUGACAAGGGAGGUUUGUGGAAUUUCAGAAACCACAGGGGAGGGGAGUGAAACUGUCAGAAACCUCAGGGGAGGUAUCUGAAAUUAUCCCUUAGAAAUAAAAGGUAUUCAAAAGGUGCAUCAUCUUCACAUGCAAGUCAGACGGUUUCGGAUGCCACCAAAUCACCUAAUCAUAACUUUGUACUCAAAUUAACAAGUUGCAUGUCCUUUUUAAUCAAGAAUAUAUAUAUAUAUAUAUAAAGCAAAAUCAGGACUGUUUAUGAUUUUCCCAACAAAUUACAGCAAUGGAGAAGUGGCAGCAAAGACGAUGAAAUUGGGGUGGCGGUGGACGAACCUGUUGGUAGCGGCACUGGUUGUUUGGUGGAGGAGCUAGGGUGGGUUACGAACGACAGCAGAUAUUCGCGUUUGGGAAACUUCUGGUUGGAGUAGAUACUUUUUUGUUUGGAUUGUAUUUUUUUAAAAUUUUUUAUAAUAAAAUUAUUAUAACGAUUUGAUAUAUGUAAAGUAAAAAAGUGGUUGAAGAUUUUGAGUGUAGCAAUUUUUUUAAAAAAUUUUCAAUCCAAUCAAAGCCGCGCUACAUAUAAAAAGUAGUUGUUUCGCAUGUGUUCUUUUUGCUUGAUCAAUGAAGAAAAUAUAGGAAAUAAUAAAAGAUUAAACUCUUAUGUCUCAGACAUUUUAUUUUGGAUGAGAAAUGAAAUUCUCAUCAAUGCUAUUCAACACUAGAUGUACAGCUUUUCCAGCGCACAUGUAAAUUUAGUUUACAAUGAAUGAAAUUAUCCUUUUGACAAAAAUAAAUAAAUAAAUACAUAAAUCAAAGCCGCUCUACUUUUUUUUGUCAAAUCAUAAAUCUAAUCCCAGAACGGUUCUCAAAAGUCGGCAACUCUUGAGUGUGUCCCAAGGACUUAUAACCUAACCCAAACCCAACCCCAACCCCGAUGUGGGAUAAUCAACCUCCACAAAGGAGCCUGCCCUUCGGCGCGAAUCUUUUCGCCCGUAACUAUUCGGACCCUCACUCCCCGUGAUAAGCUGACUGUCUUCUCUCAACAUUAUUGUUGUUUUUUUGUCAAAUCAUAAAUCUAAUUCCAGAACAGUCCUCAAAAGCCGGCAACUCUUGAGGGUGUUCCAAGGACUUAAUCAAAGCCGCUCUACUUGUUUGAGUUGUUUCCUUGUUUCGUUGGUCAAGGUCCGGUCUGAUUAAAAAGUCAACUGGUGGACCCGGGAACUUUUGACCGCCUACUUAGUUAGACCCAGACCCCUUUCGAAAGGGAACGUCUUUUCAACAUUAAUACGUCCAAAAUACAUAGCAUAGCACUACAUAGACUCCGCACCAGCCACAAAAAUCUGAUCCCCCUAUAUAUUGAAGUUGAUAUUUGACCCAAAAAAAAAAAAAAAAAAAAACACCAUGGUUCCCCUUUCCGCUGUUCCACUUGAAUUCGCACGCUAACAUCCCACCAUCACAUGCGUGCAACAAAGACGAAGAAUUAUCAGUCCUCAAGUCAACAUACCUAAUAGGACCAUCCAAAUCGGAGACAUGAGUGAGUGCAACACUUGUUCCCAUGAUGACGCUGCUCUCAAACACUCACUGCAACAUUGCACCGAGUUAUCGACAGAACUCAGUUGGGAAAACAUCGCGACUUCACGUUUUCGAGGAUUCAGAGGAAAGCCUCAAAACCUUAAACUCAGAUUCUACUAUUUCGGAUUAAAAACUCUCUGUCAACUCCCCUCAUAGACUGAACAAUAGCAUAUACUAUCAUAUGUUAUACUCAUAAUAUAUUUGUUGACAUUUAAAUAACAAUAAAUCCUUCCAGUAACAAAUUAAACGCACAAAAUCUAUCCAUCCAUAGGGUUCAUUAGUUUAUUAUUGCAGUGAGACUGGUGCAAGAAAAUGCGGCUAAUUCCCAGCUUACUCCAGCUUCCUCCAGGAUCCUACCAAUUUGGCCAAUGCCACAGUGGAUGAGCCCCCAUCAGCCACUGCUUGCUUUGCUUCCUCCUUCUUUGCCUGGGCUCUUUCCCUGAUCACCUUUCCUUCCUCCGAAUCCAUCAACCCCCUAACUCGCUUCUCUAUUUCAGCCGCUUUCACGAACCCACCUUCCGUACUUUCAUCCAUUGGUAAGGCCAACUUCAUCUCCUCAACUAAGAACAGCCUAUUCAGCUUCUGCUCAGCAUAAAGUGGCCACCCCACCAUAGGCACACCCGCACAGACUGCUUCCAACACUGAGUUCCACCCGCAGUGGGUCACAAACCCACCCACCGACCCAUGAUUCAACACAUCCACCUGCGGUGCCCAAGAACUCGCCACGAAACCCCUACCCUUUGUCCGGUCCAAAAACCCGUGGGGCAGCAACAAAUCCAGAUCUGGGGCGGGUGGAGUUUGAAAGCGGUUGGUUUUGUCCUCAGAAGGCGGACUGCGCACCACCCACAGGAACUUUUGCUCGCUCCUCUCCAACCCGAUGGCUAUCUCUUUCAGUUGCUCAGCUGGAAAUUGACCCACGCUCCCAAAGCACAAGAAUACAACGCUUCCACUUGGUUGCAUAUCCAGCCAUUUCAAACAUUCAUGCACACCUCCUCCCGUUCCACCUGCUGCACCUCCACCUUUCCCGUUGUCUGAUGCAAUCAGAGGUCCUAAGCUGAAAACAGGCGGAGUGGGGCCAUCCGGAACAUACUUUCCAUCAGCGAUUGAUUUCAAGAUGCUAGGUUCGAGCGAUUCGAACGUGUUGACUAGGAUCCCGGACGAUUUUGCCAAUUGCGUCGCAACAUCUAAGAAAAAUGCAUACUCAGGAGACGUUCUUUCCAGCAAAGGAACUGGCAUGUCUCGUGGUGGUAUUGGAAGUAAAUCAGGAAGAUGUAGAAGUUCGUCCAGGUCUUUAUAGCUUUUGUUUGUUGAUUGGUGGAGCGUGGGUAAGUAAAGGAAGAGAGCGAGACCAUUAGCGCCAGAAGUGAAGAAGUAAUAAGUCGGGAUUCCAAGGUUGGUAGCAACAGAGAGGGCACAAGUGCAAAAGAAGUCGAUGAUAAAUGCAGAAAUUCCAGCUGUCAAGGAGAUGGAGUGCAGAGCUUGGCGAACAUGAGGGUUGCUGAGUCGAAGGAGCUCGAAGUGGAGAGCUUCUAUGGAGGGGUAAGAGUCAGGGUCAAGAGGCGGAGAGGGCAGGUGGUGGAAAGAGAUGGAAGGGGUGGUGGCAUAAAUGCGAUUCAUGUAAGCAGCAGUGGAGGCUGCAGUGUUGUAUGGCGGGUUCACUACGAGAACAGUAAUAGCCAAUCCAGGGUGGUGGUUGAGAGUGAACUUACCCAGCUCCACCAUGGAAACCAGGUGACCCAUGCCUGGAGAUGGAUACAGAACUAUAGUACGAUUACUCCCCAUCUCUCUCUCUCUCUCUCUCUGUUCUUACACCCAAUUUCCACAAAAACUACGCAACUCUUUGAGCCAAUUGAGAGCCUCAAAUUUCCAAGUUCCAAAUAAACAGAGAGUAACUCCCUUCUACUUAACCAUUGGGCCAUUUGGCUCAGUGUCCACGAGGGAGGGACUUAAGUUCCUCCUUGGGCUGUUGGCGAGGGUAGCGAAAAAAAUCUAAGGGUUGUGUUAUAGUACUUCUUUGAUCUAGUUGGGUCUGUAUACCCAUUAGCCCCUUUCAUAAUCUCCUUGGGCUCCCCUCUCCCUAAAUUAGGAUAGAAUAGGUUAUACAAAUAUAUCGUUGCUAAAAAAAAAAAAAAAAAAAAAAAACUCCCUUCGACUUUCCAUAGCCAAUAAAUGCAAUCAACUGACCGUUCUUUGUCAAGUCCCCGUAGGCAACAUCAACUUGGCUUUGAGCGAAAGUCGAGUCACCGUUUCUGUCAUAUACCGUCGAUCUUUCGUUUUUUGCCCUUUUCCCUUGGCCCCUCUUGCCGUGCGAAUGCUACUGGUUUAUAAAAGCUUACAGAAGCACAUACGUCAUUGUUAUUUUCUCUUGUAACCUUAAACUGCCUUCAGUAGUCCGUAAGAUACAAUAAUAAUAUCUAACAAAAAAUCCGCCUGCAAAGAAAUUUGCCUCAGAACUCCUCAAAUCUCGUCUCAAUGGAAUCUCAGAAAGGUUUCUAUUUGAUUUAACUAAAAGUAUGUCCAGCAAACACACUUUUCUUAAAUAGUCUGUUGAUGAAGGGUAAAUUUCUUGGAAUAUUUUGAUUAAAGAAAAACAAAAGGUAGGUUAGAAAAAUAUGAUCCUGUAGAGGUGCUUUUCUUGUUAUAUGCCCGUUGAAUCCCCGACUGGCAAUUUUUUUUUUAUUUUUUUAAUCUAAAAUACUGAAUAUGCUGGCCCGUUAUCUACUUUGUAGCAGGGACCAAUUUAUAAAUAAGGUUUUUUUUUUUUGUUUUUGGCCUUUUGAGCGAACUAAUAAUAAUAUGAUCAGAAUACAUGAUAGCGCUGGAAACAACUUUUUAUUUCAUUCCCAAGCUAAGAAAAAUCUUUUCCGGUGCUGCUGUCGAGUUCUUUUGAAAAUCACAUAACAAGUCAUGCAGAUUUUAAGUUAUUGCACAAUUAGGUUUAAUCAUAUAUUAGUAAAUACAAAUUCGAUUUACAUUUAGAUAAAGGAAAAUAGUUGUGACACAAUUCUAAUACUAUACUUUCUUACGAGCAAGAAAGUUUGUAAUGAUUUUCAAUUUUUUUCCUACCUGGAGAAAACAAAGGUCUAAACUUGAAAUAUAAUUAACAGAAAGCUAUAAAAAUUAGAGAUUAUAUAGAGAUAGAGUAAUUAGGAUUCAACGCUUGCAUACAAUAUGGUAAUUAUCUUACAAUAGGAAAUAUUUUUAAAAUCAUGAGAAGGUGCAAGGGACUUGAAUCCAAGACCUCUAAUUCUUGAUACUUCAACUUGAGUCACUAGAUCAAGGAUUUGAUAACAGAGAAGUAACAGAUUCAACACUAAGGAAUUUUUCAUCUCGACUUGGAAUAACAAGCUAAAUUAAUAAGUUUGAUGAAAUGAUAAGAUAAUAUUUUUUUUUUAAAAAAAAAAAAACUUCAACUAACCUUUUGGUCCUAUUCAUAACAUAAAUUAAUAAUUCACCAAAAUUACAUUUCAUAUUUUUUUAUAAAAAAAUGAGUCUAUUAUUUUUCUUAAAUUUUAAGUUUACCUAAAUCUUAUCCUCAGUUUUGUAUUAAUUAAACUUUUAACCUUCUUUUAUUAAUAAAUUAAUUCAUUUUUAUCAAAUAAAGCUUUAGGUGAUAAAAUGAGUGUUUCUUUGGAUUGUAAGUACACUCAACAAAUUAAUAAAUUAUUAAUUUAUUGAUUAAUUAAUACAUUUUAAAUUAAUAGAAUUUGUAAGAUCCCAAAAUUAUUAAUUUAUUUUACUAUAGUAGUUAAAAGACACUAUCCGACUCGUUAUGCACUCUUAGGUGCAACAAAAUGGGCUAUGUGUCUCCUGUUUUUGGUUUGCUUUAAUUAACUUUAAAUUGCAUACGGAGAAUGAAGGGUGAAAAGGUUGUUGAAGGGUUUUAAAUGUUUUUGCCACUAUAAGAGAGAGUUUGGGAGAAACAAGCGAGUAUAACGAUCAGUUUGACUGAGCAGUUUACUCAAGAAAAGGAGGCUGGACCCGGCAACCACUUUUAGAAAAGAGAAAAUUUCCUUAUUUAUAAAUUGGUCCAGAGAACUUAAGAUAAAUAACCAGCCCGUCAUGUCCAUUGGAUACGGUGAUCACUUAAAAAAAUAUAUUCUUUAUUUAUAAAUUGGUCCAAGGACCGUAAAAUAAAUAAGAGCAAAUUAUUUGGAUAGUUACCAAACUUUUUGAAUAGACGAUUUUUGACCACUUAACUAUUAAUAGCAUAUUUUUAUCCACUACACUAUCAAAAUUAUAAAUUUUGGACUAUUCCGUCUGACUCCACUAUUAAUUUUAACAAAUCUAACUAUUAAUAGUAUAUCUAAUAAAUUGUGCAGAUCUUUAGAUCGGGCAGAGUUAGUGGUUGGAUCAAAUGAAAUAGCACAAAAUUUACACACUUAAUAGUUCAGUAGAUAAAAAUGUAUUAUUAAAUGUUAAGUGAUCAAAUCCUAACCACUUAAAAAAAUCAAGUUGUUACCCUAGUAAUUUGCCCAAUAAAUAACCAACCGUCCUGUACAUUGGACGGAGCAAGCUGUUUUAGAUUAAAAGUAUAGAAAUGUUGCCCACCUUGUUCAUUGGACAUGGCGGCCAUAUAACUUUUUAUCAAUUACUUGAAUAGAUUCGAUCUAACAAGAAAAACACCUUUACAAGACAUUCUUUUUUUGGCCUUUUUUUUUAAUCAAUAUUUCAAGAAAUUUGCUGUUAAAUCAUGUCUGCCUUGGAAGUAACCUCAUUAUGGUUGGGGAUAAAGGUUGAGAGGGCACUUUUUAUUAUUUUGAUUUUCAAAUGCAACCUUAUUUUCUAAAAGCCCUUAAGUAAAAAAAAAUCACCAAAAUAUUCAAAUUAUAUGCAUGGGCAUAUCUAUAUAAAUUAGCACUAAAAAUUCAAACCCAAAGUUUCCCUAACAAAGAAAACAGGAAAAAUACCAUAGAUAGAUUCCAAAGCCUACAAAAUGUUCAUAAUUAGUGCACGUAGAGCUCCUAAUAACCAAAAGCAAAACCCCAGACUAUUCAGCAGAAAACCACGGCAACUAUUACAGGGAAUAUUUCUAAAAUUUUUAAAACAUCACUUAUUUCUCUUACUUUUAUUAUUUGUGAAACAAAAUUUUAAAAACCCUGAACUAUAAUUUUACUCAUUUUGAUAAACAAAACACUCCUAAAUCACUUUGUGUUGCUCCAAGGAAAACCACCAUCUGAAAACAAAUCUCUAGUAGGACCACCACAUCACAAAUUUAUAGUCCAUAAAAAUAUAAAUUUGAAAAACAAAAAUGAUAUUUGUAAAGAAAUGUGCUAGUAUCAAUUCAACUAUGUACAUUCAAAAUCAUUUUUUUAUGAACAUUAUUUUUUUUCUUAACCUCUUCUCAAUCUAUGGUUCAAACUUUUAAGUUGUAUUAAAUCAUUUUUUUUAAAAUAACUCAAAUUAAACAAAGAAAUUAUACUCAACUCUAUCACAAUCAUAAAAUGAAAAAAAUAAACAAAAUUCAAUUUACUAUAAUUUAAAAAUUCAAAAUUCCAUAAUUAUCUAGAAAAAAUGAAUAAGAGAGGAUAUUAGAAAAAAGGGAAAAGAUAAGAAAGUGACAUGUAUUUUUUCUUUUAAUUUUUCAAGUUCCAUUUAUUUGAUAUGUGAAUUAUGUAUCAAAUGAGAAUUAAUGCAAUCAUUUUGCAAUUAUUAGGGGAAAUAAGUGAUAUUUUUAAAACUUCAAGGGUACUAAAUAAUAUUAAGAGAAACCUCUGGGGAGGUUUCUGAUAAUAUCCCUUUCAAUUAUCGUACAACAUGCCGACACCUCUUUCUAAUUUCCCCCAACUCAAAAAAUUGAUAGAGAUUUCUAAAGACAAGGACUCGCUUUUCUUUUCUCUAAGUCCAAGUUGACUUGGAUAUUAAUUAAUGGGCUUUCUCUUUCCAAAGGCCACCAAAUGAGAUGGACCCGAGGAACCACUGGGCCAGUGACUCAGUGGCUACAGGGAGGGGCUUAAGCCCCUUUUUGGGCUGUAGAUGAGAGUUCAAAUGUCACCUGCAGCGAAAAAAAUCUAAGAAUUGUGCCAAAGCACUCUCUUGAUCUAGUUGGAUCUGUAUACUCAUUAGCCCCUACCACAGUCUCCUUAGGCUUCCCUUCCCCCUUAGAUUAGGAUAGAAUAAGUUAUACAAAUGCACCGUUGCUGACAAAAAAAACAAAAAGAGAUAGACCCAAGGCAAACAAGCCGAGAUCCAUAGGAUCAGAGUAAUCCUUGUACCAAAAGUAAGCUAUGAUACGAAAGGGAAUCAAUAAAUAAAAAAAAGCAUUAAGGGUUUUUUAGUUGAAACAAACAAUAUAAUUCCUCUUUUUUUUUAAUUAACGUCUUGUAAAAGAUAUGCAUUACAUGAUUGACUACCAGCAAACACCUUAGCAGUAUAUGACUCAACUGUUCCUGUUUACAUAUGCUAUCAAUAUGAAGCAACAUCUACCAACAAAAUGGCUUCUAUCAUUUCAGAGUUAACACCAAUGAAUGAGAGUGCAACUGGAUAUGAAGCAACGGAAAGAUCCCCUGUAGCAUCAUGAAUCUUUCAGCAAAGCUAAAGUUUAGUCAUAUAUCAGCAUUUUACAUCUUUAAGUUAAUUAAGUAGAAGAUAUUCAUUUUCCUAGAACACAACUGAUACAAGACAGACGAAAUAAAGUCAGCCCAAAAUACCUUCGCGUACAUCAGAGGCUUGUCUAGCAAUACAUUGAUAUCAUCCAAGGCCCCUAACAUACUGAUCAAGAGUUGAAUUAAAUAGAUCACUUCUGCCCAAGAAAAAUGAAGAAGAAAAUUAGUUUAGCAACCAUUUUUUUUUUGCCAGAAAACAGAAACCGAAAAUUAUAUAUUUGCCUCCAAGUGUAAUGAACAGAGAUCAUUGUUCUGACCUAUGAACACAUCCAUCACGUGCAGGAAACAUGCAUAAGACGCAUCAUCAGAAUACAUGCAUGAAGCCAUCAUGCAGCCUUAUUACAUGUCACUACAUCUCACAAAAAAUAGGAAAAGAAAAGGUGCAAAAGGUUUUUUUCAGAAAGAAAAGGAAAAAAUCUAUUCGAUGAGAUUUUAAAAUAAAUAUCUUCCCAAGGAAAUAGGUGGAAAGGUUUCACAAGAAAGUAGAAGAGAUGUCAACAACGGCCAAAUAUCAGGCAGCUUAUGGAAGCAGUUAAUUCCUUUAAAUACUCACUAAACUAGGUACUAGAGAGACUUUCCUUCAGCAGUCCAUCAUUCUCUGGCUUUUAACUACAUUAAAACCUUUGUAUGUGUCUUUCCAAAAACUAUAAAAGACCCUAUUUGAUUCAAACAAACAACAAAAGUGAAGUUUGAAGAAAGAGCAGCAGAUUUAUGAGACAUCGCGUUUAACAUCCACUGUUUAAGUUCAAAUCACAACUUAGAUGUGCAGGUCGAACCCCAUAUAAGUAAUGGGACAAAAAUUUCCACGCAUGAAACACAUAGACCUAUUUAAGAUCUAAAAAGUUAACAAAACAAAAUUUAAACUAGUUUUGCAUCACCAGAUGCACACAGACCUACACAUUUGCAGCCAAAGAAUUAAACAAAAACCGGUAUAAGUCAGGAAAGAAUUGACAAUGCACAUAUAUCAGCCAAUUAAUCAUUCUGUGUUAAGUACUGAAUGACACCCUGCGACUUACCUAAUUGGAUUUCCGGGUGAGUACAGUGGAUUCUUGACAACAUACUCGACAUACAAGUUGUAUAUGUACUUGAGGGAUUCCCUUAAAUCACCUGUCCUAGGAUGAGUUACCAGGAUGAUCUGUAAAACCAAUGAAUACAUGGGGAAUAAGAGAUUUUUAAUGUUAACAAGAGAGAGUUUUUCAACUUGACAUGGAAAAAAGUUAUGCUAACUGCCAGCAAGUGAUAGUCAGACAACAGAUAAAGGUCUUGAUACUCUUGCUACAUAGCCAUCUAUAUGAAUGCAAGCAUAUAUACUCAUGCAAUCAUCUGGACAGACCUUAAUCCCAGAUGGACUCUCCAUGAAACUAAGUUUGUAAGUAUUAGUGCGGAAGCUGUGGAACGAACAUCCCUGUCCAGGUAAUUGUGGCACUCCAAGAUUUCCUUUAUCAGCGCUGCCAAAGAGAUCAAACAAUAAUGUAAGAAAGUCACUCUUAUUAGCAUGUCUUCAAAGAUAUGAUUGAGAAACAUUUUUAGACCAGGACAAUAAUGAGAUGCAAAACUAGUCUUCAGGAUUACUUUCAAUUUGACCAAAAAAUGGCCAAUCCUUUCUGGUAAAAAUUCUCACAUCACACCAUCAAGCAGCUACUGUGGGUGGUCAUUUAAGGUGCACAUAUAUUGACUCAUGAACUUCUUUAUAUACAUCAACAAAUGUACAUAUGUUUUACCACCAGUAUACUCUUCAAUCACCCUUCUUUUUUCAAAAGACUAACACGAUUACAAAAGAAUACCCAAACUUUAGAAAUGCCUAUCAAAGUACUUGUGAUCAUGAGGCAGAUUAUUAUCUUUCUCCUUAGGCAUGAACCUCGUAUUAAACUGCCUUGACAAUGGCCUGACAGUCUGGUUGGAGAAAUGGGUCAUCUUUUUGGGAAUUAAAAAGCUAGAAAAGAAAAAUUGUAAUGCUAAUGCACGUUAUGGAGGCCAAAUUGAUUAUCAGACAACUUGGGGGGGGGGGGGAAUUGGAAUUAACCAUUACGCAAGUUGAAUCAAACGUCAAGUGGAAUAACAAAAGAAAAAGGUCGUGUAAUUAUUAGAAACGAAAAAUUAAUUCCAAAAUUAUUUGAUCGAAAGAAGGAGAAAACGGACCUAGUUGGAUCCAUUUUGGCAGUCAAGGAUUUAAGAGAGAAGAGGAGACCGAACAUGAGCUUGUGAUCCUGCUGGGGGCUGAGAGUCUUAAGUGGCCGAUUCCAUUCCCUGUACAGCAGACAUACUCCAUUCCUGUUGAACACGUAUAGCAUGUGGGCGUUAUUCCCCGCUGCCGUCGGGACCGGCGGCGAUGGACUGAUCUCGGAUCCUCCGAAAAAUUGCAUGCUUUGGGAGAUGCUUUUUUUUUUUUUUGCUUUUAUCCUCGGGAGAUACUUGUGGAGAUGAGCAACAGGGGAAUGGGAGGAACAAGGAUGAGCAGCGACAGCUAGGGGCCGGGGAAGGGUAGUGGACAAUGGCUUGGCUUGGCUUGGCUUGGCUUGCUGGCUGGCUGGCUAGACUGGAGAGGCGGCGGUAGGGCUACUAGGCUACUAGCAGUAACAAAGGGAGUGUUUGGAUACACAUAUUAUUUCAAAUAAUAUUUCGCUUGCAUCAUAAACACAUUUCCUAAUCCACCUUUUUAUAUUUCCAAUCAACUUUUUAUCUCACAUACAUCACAUCACAAAAAGUGCUACAGUAAUUAUUCCAAAUAAUAUUUCAAAUAAUACUCUAUCCAAAGUUUUACUACUGCUAAACUUUUUUAUGUUUUGUUUUCCAAAUUUGGGAUUAAAUUUUGGAAUCAUGGUUCCUGAAAACCUACCGAUCCUCAUUCCCCUCUUUUCUAUUUUUCUUUUGGCGGAGAGAAUGAAAACCUCCCAAUCCAUGCGGGUACAGGCUACAGAGUUUUGAUGAAUCUUUAAUAAAUUUCUUUCCAAAAAGGGAAAAUGACCAAUUUCGUCCUUAUACUUUUUUAUCGUGUCAAUUCAGUCUAUAUAUAAUUUUUUUGGCCAAUUUGAUACCUAUACUUAUUUUGCGGUACCAAUUAAGGAACGCUGCGGCGGCGCCACCACGUAAAUUCGAUUAACCUACUAAUUGAACAACUAAGCAGGGGUAUUUCGGACACUUCACUGCUUCUUCAUUUGUCACCUUUUCUUCUUCAUCUUGCUUAUCACCAUCCACAGAAGCCAUAGCCGGAGUAGCAGAUCCGUCUCACUCCAACUCAAGGACAGAUGUUGGUGACGUACGCAAGACUAGGCUUUCAGCAGAGUCCUCAAAUACACAAGAAGGAAUGUCAUUUUGAUUAUGUGGCUGGGAAACCGCCAUUGAGCUAGACUGAUUAUUAUAUUCUUCUCAGACGCAAUUUGAUCAACCAUGGCCCUAGCUUCAAAUUCAAGUCAUUUCGCUUCAUAGGCUCUUGAAGCUCCCUUUAUAAAAUAAUUACCCAACCAGAUCCUCUUUCCCUUAAACGGGUUGCGAAUUUCUACAACCCAUUUUCCCCAUUUCCUCUGCCUGAGACCUUUGUAUUUGGAAGAGGAAGGCCUUGAUUGAGGUUAACUCUACAAUUUAGUUAAACCAGUCUUCUUUUUAGGGUUGUUUUUCUCUGCAUUAUUGCUCUCUUGACAGGAAUUUUUAGCUUUCUGUGCAACAGCCAUAGCCACAGGCUAACCAGGUUGCCUUUUUAACUUCACAAUAGGGAGAAUAACCUCCCUAAGAAAUCUCUUAGGCUUCUUUUCAAUCACCGUUUCAUCAUCUGAUGAAUCAGUAUCAGUAGCAUUCGAAUCGUAACAAAAGACCCUAAUCUUCCUCACAGGUCAGUACUAGGGAUGGCAACGGGGUGGGGUUGGGGCGGGGGACCCCUCCCCCGUCCCCCGCCCCGUCCCCCGCCUCCCACUCCCCCCGCCCCGUCCCGCCUUGCCCCGCUUCACCCGCGGGGGCACCCACGGGGUUAAUAAAAUUUUAUUAUAUAAUUUUAUUAUAAUUAAAUUUUAAUAAAUAAUCAAGUACUAAAAUAUCAACACAUCAUCAAAUUAUUAUUCAUUGUAAUUUUACAAUUGAAACCCAUAAAAACAAUCAAACAGAAGUUAUUUGAAUACAAUCCAAUAUGAUGAAAUAAAUAUAACUAAAAUAGUCAAAUUUUCACUUUUAGUACAAAUGCAAUUACUAAUUCAUCAUUGUGUUUGUGCUUUUUUUUUUGAGAAAAAAGUGUUAUUCUAUUAAGUGUAAUUAGAAAUUUAGUAUAAAUGUAUUAGUAAAUUUAGUAUAACUAAUUAAUAAAUUCUAUUAGUAGACAUGUAUAAUUAUUCAUAUAAUUGAUAAUAUCAAUUAUAUUACAUAAACUAAUAUACAUUAUAUAAUACAUCUAACUAAUAAUAUCAUUAUCAUAAGUUUAUAACUAAUUAACUUACAUAUAAUAUAUAGUCAUAUAUAUAUAUAUAUAUAUAUAUUUUGCGGGUGGCGGGGCGGGGGAUGGGACGGGGGAGUAUACCCCCGCCCCCCGCCCCGUUUCUAAGCGGGGGGAAAAAAUUCCCCCCCGCCCCGCCCCAACCCCCGCCUCGUGAGCCCCCCGCGGGGCGGGCACCCGUCCCCAUUGCCAUCCCUAGUCAGUACCACUUUCACCAGAAUCUGAAAAAGUUUGACAAAUUCAACAAUCAAAUUAGUCAAAAUCAACUCUUUACUACUGCACAUAUAACUAGCAUCGAAAACCAAUCCAAAAAUCAAUGCUAACAAUAUGGAUUUCGAAUUCGACGCCCAUUUAGCUACCUUCAUCUGGAUUCGACUAAACUGGUUCCUAAUCAUCAGGGGCCUGAGGUGGUGGUGGAUCUUCAGCUUCUUGAACUGGCUGCUGCUGCAGCUGCCGCAGCUGCGGUUCUUGAUCAGCUGCUAUCUUCAUCGCUUGAUCACCUCCAAUCCUACGCGAUUGUUUACGCCGCGGUCGGCUGGAAUGUGGGACAGAAUGCUCCUCACCACCUUGAGGAAUUGAAGUUCGUUUCUGUGCAGCAAUUUUUGGGACUUCUUUUUGUAUUUUCCCUUUUUUCCUCCCUCUUAUGGUUUCCUCUGGCAACUUCCAAACCACCCCUUCUUUAAUGGGUUGCGGAGAUUAUUUGGAAAUAAAUAAAAGGAUUGAAGAAGACGAUGGUUACAGGCUAUGGGGAGAAUAAUUGACUGGGGAGAGUGAUGGAAGAGUUACUGUCUUUUGCUUCUUUUUUUAUCCUUCUUGCUGCCUUUCGAAGUUGGAACUUGGAAGAACGGUUCAACCCAGCAGUGAAGUGUCCGAAAUACCCCUGUUUAGUUGUUCAAUUAGUAAGUUAAUCGAAUUUACGUGGUGGCAUCGCUGCAGCGUUCCUCAAUUGGUACCGCAAAAUAAGUAUAAGUAUCAAAUUGGCCAAAAAAAUUAUAUAAGGACUGAAUUGACACUAUAAAAAAGUAUGGGGACGGAAUUGACCAUUUUCCAUUCCAAAAAUCUCAUACCCACAUGGCCAUACCCUGUAGCCAAAAUCUUUAAUUCCCACGCCUUUCUGCCAAGCACCAUGACCCAACAAAUUGGCUUGACUAGUGUUAGCUGAUUCAACAACAACAUUACAACAACAACAACUACGACUAGUUGUAUUCACAAUUACUGGUGUUCGAGGCACACUUCUCGUGUGCACAACUAACAAAAAAUUUAUAUAAAUAUUUGUUAAAAUCAUUCUUAUGAGGCAAUUUUAUAUAUUUUUAAUACGUAUGGUGAAAAAUUCACCAAAAUAAACUAUGCAAAAUGUAAAUAGAUAAUUGUUUGGCAGUGGGUGUAAUCAAAAGAGAGACAGAGGGAGCUAGUGAACAAUUAGUUAUAAAAAGUAAUUUAGAAAUAUCACAAAGUGAUAGAUUUUAGUUUAAUCUCCCCCUUUUUAUAUAUGGUCCAUAGAUAAUUAUUACUAUUUUUAUAAACACUCUAACUUAUCAAUAUGUUCAAAUGACAUAGUUAUAAAGCCUAACCUGCCUCAACGGUUAAACUGAUCAACUUGGUGAACGGGUUAUAGGAUCGAAUUGGGUUGUUAAUCAAACUUAUUGACUUGUCAAUGAUCCGACGCUUCAAUCGGUGAAUUGGAAAAAAAAAAUCAUCAAUUAAGCUGCCAUCUAACCACCAACAUAAAAAUUAUAUUGUUUUUAUAAUUAAAAAUAUAUAUUAUAAUAUAGCUAUUAUGCAGCUCACGGUUGAAUCGGUGACUCGAUCACCUCUCUGGAUUGAGCUCCGAGUUGGGUUUAAUAACUAUGAUCUAAGUCAAUCUAGUUGAAAAUACUAGUAAUUGAACAUAUUUUUCCUUCUAUUUUUGGAAACUUACAAAAAGAAAAAUGGAAGUAUCGUCUUUCUUAAAAAUCAAUUAGUUUUUUAUUAACAAUAAAAUUGUGUAGCUUAGUCAUUCUAAGAAGGAUUAAAUUUUCCCAUACCAUCAAUGUAGACUUUUUUUGUUUUAACAUAAUCAGAUUUGAAUAUAUGACACGUGUAAAAAAAGAAUUUAAAAUCUAAACUAAAGGUUAAUAUGUAUUGGUACAUAUCAGUGCCCAAAAAAAAAAUUGUACACCCAACACCUCAGGGAAGAAUAAUUCAUACACGAUCGUAGACCGCGUGCAAUUGCGAACACGCGUGUUAUAAUCAUUUUUUUAGAGGAAAAGAGAUUAAUACGAACUUAAAAAUUUUAUGCAGGAAAGAGCUAAAUUGUAGGAAGAUUAAACCCCAGUGAGCAGGGUUCACCCACUAGGGGCCGGUAACCUUUCCCCACUUCCUUUGUGUGCUUUUCUGAGUACCCUACAUUAUGAACUGAGGGUAGUCUUGGCGGACCUUGUCCAUUUAUCAAUUGCAUUUCGUUCCCACCAUCAAUUUAUUGCGAACCUUUUUUUUUAUCUUUCACCGAAAACCCAGAAAUGAAGUAGUAAAAUCCAUUCAAUGGCCAGAAUUCCUGGACAGUUUAGUAACCCUCAGCUAUAACUGCUUCAUGGGCUAAGGAAACUCGCACACAGAAAAAAUUUAAGAAGCAUUAGCAAUCUAAUCGCAACAGUAACGGCCAUAAAAAGAACAAAAUUUUCACAAACACCAUCGCUCAAUUUAUAUUUGCAAGUUAAUAAAGUCAAAGUCAUGACAGCGGGGAACAAAAGACGAGAAAUAAAAACAUUCAUUCAGACUGGACCAAAAUUAGAAGUCCUGAACACCAAAGCAUUUGAACUAGGAAAAGACAGAAAUAUGUCACAAGACACCAAGAAAAUCAAUAUUCCCAUUUUUUCAUCUCCAUGCCAUCUGGAGGGCUUCCUUCAACCUUCUUUGCACCAACUUCUUUCCAGUUCGUUGAUAAAACUGUCCCAUUUGACUCAACCUGUUACACCAGACAAUAUAUUACUCCCAACCCGUCAAAAAGUUACAUGCAAACACACGGGGAACCUGAAUUGAGAGGACCCAUUCAGCAUGGGCAGAAAAUCUUUCCAAGUUUCAAUGAUAAUUGUUGUUCAAAUAGAACAGCUACAAAAGAAAGUUAUAAAAUGGCAACCAGGAAAGGACCAUCAGAAAUUCUUAGGAAAUGGAGAUAAGAGUCUUACAAAAGAUUUCAUCAUGGCUCUUCUAGUGUCCUCAUCAGCAUCUUUGUAUAUGUCUCUGAAAAAUUUGUUAAGAGCUGCAUCACCAUCUAGUUUUUCAUCUUUUUCCUGAAGAUGUAAACAGAGUGAAUCAGCCAAAACACUUCCUAGCAUGUGCUACACGUUUCACCUCAAUGCAAAAGAAAAGACCAAUAGAAAUAGCAGAGAUAACAUGCAUACCUCCUUUUUCAUUUGAGCUUCAAGCUUAUCCCAAUCUUUUGUUGCUCUCGAGGAUGGGUAAGUGGGUCUUUGACUUCCUGCAAAAUGCAAAGGUACGACGGUAAAGCUUAUCAACUGUGACCAAUAUCUUCUCUCUGUAACAUCUUGGGAGAAUAAAUGCAUCUCAAGUUUGAGUAACUGUAAGAAAGCCAUAUAUACCUGAUCACAUGGACAUUGACUUCAUGAAAAAAGAACCAACAUAGACAGCACACAAAAACCAGUUUCUGUUCCACUUUUAAUUUCCAAACAAACUUCUUAACCAGGCCUACUGGUGCAUUUUCAGACAAUCUACCAGUGCACAGCAAUUAUUUCCAGGCUAGCCAAAAACUCGUGCAACUAAACCUACCUGAUGAAACAUUUAUCCUCUGCAAAGCCACAUUAUCCCUGCUAUACUCGAGAGACACCCAGUGUACAGCUUCAGCUUUUGCAAGGCAGAUUUCAAUUUUCGUGGACAGAACUUCAUAUCUGCAAUUUGCAGGAAUUAUCUGUUUAUAUGAAGACAACACCAAAGUCCACAAAAAAUUAGAAAGUUAAUGUAAAAACAUAAUUUUCUGACAUCAUAAAAAAAAGAACACGAUUUACAAAGACCCACUGGCCAUGCAUAAAUUAAUAGCAGGAAUGAAAAGCAGAGUUUCACUGCUUUAAAAGUCUAAUGAUGAUUUAUAGUAAACUCAGGUUUUUAUCAUUAAUAAUUCCUAAUCAGACACAUGUUGCAAAUAUUUUUACCCAUGAUGCAUUCACUAGUUCAUACAAAACUCAGUCUCCUGAUGUUUCAACAUGCCAAUUGACCAAAGGAUAGUUCCAGCUACCAUAUGACAGUUAAGUGUUAUGAGACACGAGAGAGCAGAUAUCUCUCUGCCAGAACUAUAAUAUCAAGUUAACAUUUUACCUUUCCAAACAAUCGUGGUUGAAAAGUAUAUGUAUCUUCACCAGGCACAUCAAUAGUGACACUAAGCUGAAAAGCAACAAAAAGGAAAAAGGAAAGCCAAACCAUCUUAAGAACAUCAAAUGGUGUGAACCAUGUUUAAGAAUCUAUAGAUAUCAACGGAAAGAAUGAACAUACUAUUUGUUCACCAAAGUCCACUGAAACAUUUUUUGCUGGUAUACCCUUUGCAAAUAUAGUUACAACAACUUGCUCUGGUUUUUGAUAAUAUUCAUGCCUGCAACACAUAAUUUUUAAGCAUAAGUAUCCAAUUAAUCAUCAGAAACUUGAAUCUUAAUCAAUUCAAACUGUUAAGGCUCUAGAAAAUGGCAUGCCGACAAAAGGUGGUAUUACGAAUCUAUCAGCACGUAUAAUAAAAAACUUUCCAACAAUUAGCUAAAUGGUCAAUCAACAUCGAAGUAACACUGCUAAUGACAGACUUCUUAAUACUUUAUUGGCUUGCCUCAUAGAGGAACCAUUGGCCAGGUUAUGAGAUCUGACCAACCAUGGCUAUGGUAAACAUUCCAAUGUUGCAACAGGUUGUAUCGAGUCUUAGAGGAUGUCAUAUGGAAGAGAAAAGGGAGAUAUAAGUUGCAAUAACCUGUAUUUUGGCUUGGCAGAUGACAAACUGGUAGUCUGGUUGGAUAUACUGAUGGCUGGCUCAGCAACCUUCGGAAUUGCAGCAGUUGUAUCAACAACUAUUGGGGCCUCUGGUGAUUUGUUUGGCAACACUCCAUUUUCCUCUUAAAUUGAAAAGGAACCAAAAUCAGAAAACAAAUUAAGUUACAUAAAGAUUACCUAGAAUGUAAUAGAAGCUAUUUUGCAUGUAAGCCACAGCUUUAAAAUUUCAGAGAUAAGCACAUAAAGAUAUACAUACAAUUUUUUUUUUUUUUGGAAAAAAAAAAGGCAACAUUUGACAGACAUCAAAAGAAGCUCCAUUCGACUGCAUGAAAGGUGCAACUCACACCCAACUAUCAAAAUCCCAGCCAAACAAAAUCAGUGGUUCUCUUCAGAGCUUGGCAGUUGGCAGCCUUUUCAGCUUCCGAUGGACUCAUAUGAGGUCAUUGAGCUGAUACAACGUAUGCAGAUGUACAUACAUGCACAAAUAGUGGGAGUUUUAAUUCUUUUCUUUCAAGCAUGCUCCUAGACAACCCUUUUUUGUAUUCUAUAAUGACUCAGCUUAUUAACCCUGGCAUUCAACUUCAUAUCAUGGGGAAGUCUCUUUUGAAAAAGAUAUAUACCAUCAUGAUAUUCCAUAAAUUUCAAAUAAAGGUAUGUGGUCAAGGAGGAGAAACCAGUUUCCCCACCGCAAAAUUGAUCUAUGAGCAAGAAGCGUCCAUAAUCUUAAAAACAAGUCAUGGACAAUGACAUUACUAUUAUCCUACUACAAUCAUGUCAAACAGCAAAGCUGUCAAAUUAAGCUACAUAGUUGUGAAGGAGAAACCGGUAUCCCCACAAUGUGAAUUGAUCUACGAGCACAAGGCACCAAUAAUUUAAAAACAAGUCAUGUACAAUGACAUUACCAUUAUGCUAUUAAAAUCUAUGCCAAACGGAAGAGUUGUACCUGCAAUGCGCUGGUCACAUUCUUUAAUCAAAUUAUUGAAUCUUGAGUCACCAGGUGCUAAAGAAGCACCCACUUCCAAAGCUGUCUUGGCAGUCUGGUAUUCCUCAAGCUUGAUGCAGGCGAGACUGUAAGGAAAAUAAAUGCUACUAGUCAUUCAUGAGGAUAAUCAUAAUGAAGUGCAGUUGGACAGUUGUAUACACUUGAAAUUCAUUCAGUGCCAUAAAUUAACAUGUGUAGCCAACUGAUUUUCUAAUGGCCCGAUAAGGGAAGCCACAAGAUAAUCUCCGUGUGGAAGCUGGACAAAGUUUUCAGCAUGGAUAACCGCAUAAAAAGGGAGGCAAGUCUCAAGUGAAAAGAAAGAAAUUUUAAAAAAUACAGAGAGAACAAAACAAGUCCUGGGCGCAAACAGCAACAAUGCCAAGAAUAUCAGUAAAGUAAGAGGAUGCACCAAAAUACUCACCCUUUCCGGAAAUAUGCUUUGGGCAUAGAAGGAUCCAAUUCAAUGGCCUUGUUCGCAUCGGCAACAGCUUCUGCUCAUGGGAAUCAAUAUUCAUGUAUUAGGGCACACAAAAUACAACUCAACCAAUAUAUCUGAACCAGCACUCCUCCAUAACAUCCAUACAAGGCAAAAUACAAAAACCUUUCAUGUUAGUGAGUUGGUUCGUCCUUUAUCAACUCAAGGAGCAUUAAUAAUUCCAAACAAGAAAAAAAAAAUUAAAUUUUCUAGAGUAGACGAAUAAAAGUAAAUAAUAAAAUCUGUCUACCGUGGUGUGAACAGUUUAAUGAAGUGAUAUUCGAUCAACAAGAAAAGUCGCAAAAAAGUCAAGUGAGAAGGCAAAACUAUAUGUCAGACAUUUAACUAAAUCUUAGACAUUAAAACAAGAAAAAAAGCGUGCAAAAAAGAUGGUUGAACUUUUGAAGCAAGCAACCUUCAUACAUAUGCAACAUGUAGUUAAGCAACAAUAGAUUCGUCGAAUAGAUCCCAAAAAUAGGAAUACUGUAUAGCAAGCUAAAUAGGAAUACUGUAUGUUGAAUUUAAAUAAGGAUUUCGUCGCUCCUAAAAAUAUACAACCAAAAAAAAAAAAAGGAUUUCAUCGGAAGAAUAAAAUACCGGUGAAGUUGUUGAGUUUGAUGUUGGCUUGAGCGCGAUCAGCAAAGAGCUCAGCGUUCGUAGGGCUAACGGAGAUGGCUUGAGAAUAGAGGUCAACGGCCAGCUCGAAGUGGUCGUCGAUGAAGGCUUCUUUAGCCCUGGUCUCCAGAUCCGACGAUGCCAUGGUUCGCUUCUCAGAAGAGAGCAGGACAGGACAGGACAGGAACAGUCUCGCAAAUAGAUAAAAAUAGAAGGCUCUAGAAAGGGGAAAGCGCACAGGGCUUUAUCACUCUACUGGAACACCGCCGAUGCUUGACUUCAAUCACUAAUAAAAAUACAUAUGCUACCGCUACCAAGAUACCGCCGAUGCUUUAUUUCAAUGACUAAUAGACUAGUAUUCGGUUUGUUUAACGGGUAUAUAUAUAUAUGGGAAGCUCGUUAAUUAACAUAAUAUUUUAGAUGUGAUAUUUUUAAAAAUAUUACAUAAUUUAAAAAAUUAAAUAAAUAUAAGGAAGCAUAAGUAACAUUAAAUAAAAAAUAUAUAUAUAAAUUCAAUUGAUCAUAAAAAUUGUUAAUAUAUUUAUAUAUAUAAAAUAAAUUAACUGAAUACUAAAUGUGAUAGGACAUUCAUUCAAAAAAUUCUAUAAUAUAGUAUAUAAAUGUGAUAAGACAUCCGUUCAAAAAAUUCUAUAAUACAGUAUAUAAAUCCAAUUGAUCAUAAUAAUUGUUAGUAUAUAUAUAUAUAUAUGUAUAUGUAUAUAGUAAAUUAAGUGAAUACCGAAUGUAACAGAGUAUUCCUUCAAAAAAACUCUAUAAUAUUUUACGGGUUUUUUUAAAAUUUUUUUAUUUACGUUGUUAAAAGUAUUUUUACUAGUACUAUACCACUGCAAAUUGCGAACGUUGUGGGAAAAGACCGGGAUACCCUCUUGUGAAAUCCAAUUAUUUGCGAAGGUUGUGGGAAAAGACCGGGGAACCCUCUUGUGAAUGUGAAUCCCCAAUAAUUUGCGUGGUAAGAGUGGUAUACAUGCAGGAGGGAUUCGGCAGCACCUCCCACUCCCAUAGCUUUUUCCUUUGAUUUUUAUUCUAUCUUCCGAUAGACACGUCAAUUGUUUAUGGAAAAAGGCUGUCCAUUAGUUGUUGAACAUUAUUAUUAUAAACGGACAAGCCCGAUCCGUUUGGAAUAUUAGGGGAUCGACAUCAAUACAAUUGUGUAAUUUCACAGACCUAGUUGCAUAUUUUGAUCCAAUAAAAUUUCAUUUCGUUUACUAACCCGCCUAUUCAACUAAGUUAACCCGGCAUGGAAUAUGGGCUAACCUGUUCAACUGAUAAAGAAAACGAUUGUACAACUCAUAUAUAUCCAAAGUAUAAAGGAGCAGUCAAUCUCACAGUUAUAAAAGUCCACCAACAAAGUACAUGAUCAAAAGACAAUUAAAAUGCUAAAUAUUUCGAACAUUUAUUUUAUUUUUUUGUCUUCAUCCGUUUUAGAAAACUAUUAACUCGUUCUACGGUGAGAACGAGUUAGAAUUAACUGGUUAAGUAAAAAAGUUGCAAUAUAUAUAUAUAAACAUAUGAUGAGUCUCUUAAUUUAUUUACUUGUAAAUGAAUAGAUCGUUAAGUUCUGAGAUUUGCAUACGGGUUACCCUAACUAACCCUGUACAUAUGUAGGAAUUGCGGUUAAAAAAAAAUAAACCAUAGUCGUAACAUUUCUUUUUUUUUUUUUUUUAAGGAUAGGUUCAAGUAAUUUAAUCAUUUUGGGAGAGGAUUGAUGUGAAUGAUAAGGUGCGAAGGAUUAUAAGUAGGAGGUUUUGAAACCUUCCACUUAUCAAAAGGAGAAAAAUCUGAUCAUUUUCAAAUUUGAGGACAAUUACCAUAUAUAUAUAUAUAUAUAUAUAUAUUAAUUUUGUAGGUAGUUAGCAUGUUUUUCAAUUUGGACCAAUUCGAUAAUCUUGGCUAGCCACUUUUCUAGUUUGUUCUUGAACACCCCAACUUAUGGUUUUAUAAGAAGCCUAAUGCUAUCUAAUCAUUGAUACACACUUGAUGCAUAUGCACAUUAAAAAAAGAUUUAUCUUGAUCCGUAAAUCAUCAUUAAGUGUAAAAAACAUAUGAAGUAUAGUGAAGAAGAAAGUGUACGAGUAAUUAGUUGUGAUGAAAACUAAUUAAUAACCUACAUAAAAUCGUGAGGUACUAGUCUAUGAAUGAAAUAAUCGUUUUCACAUUAAUACAUUCAAAUACGUUAGUUAUUUAAAAGCUGCUUUAUUCUUUACAAAUGGGUCGUCACAUUCACAUAAUCUUUGCCCAAAAAAAAAAAGGGUAAUUUGCAAAACCACUUCAUGGUACAUGAAAACUUUAGGUUGUGUUUGGAUUGUAUUUUUCAUGGAAAAAAUACUGUAGCGAUUUGAUGUAUGUGAGAAAAAAAAGAUAAUAGGGAAAUGUGAUUACGGAAAAUAACAUAAAUUUUCGACAGAAAACAACAAUCCAAACAAGGCCUUAGUAAAUAAAGAAAAUUUAAGGCCCUUUGGAUUGCAAGUUCUCAGAAUUUUUAUAGGAAAGAUAUGUGGUAAUCAUCACGUGGUGUAUAUAAGAUAAAAAUUAUAAUUAAGAAAUAUAUGAAAAAAUUUUUGUGCCAAAACUUGCAGUCUAAACAAGGCAUUAGUGGCCAUCUAACGAGUUUUCCAAGCUCCGCGUUUGCCAAUCGAAUGUGCAACUCGUUCAUCGUGUGAUAAGGGAACGGCAUCUUUUUAGUUUUUACUAUUAAUCUUCUGGAAAAUAGAAGGCACGUUUACUUGAAGGCUAGAAGCGUCAACCGGUAAGCAUCUUCUUUCAGACUUCUUAGCUGCUUCCUCAUUUGGCAUGUGAAUAGUACACGCCUGGCUGUGUGCGUUUGGAUUGUAAUUUUUUUAAAAGGGUUUUUUGAUAUAUUUUUUAAUUAUUUUUUUAAUUUACAUAUAUUAUAAUAUAUUUUUUUUUAUAAAAUUUUUAAAAAUCAGUAAUUCAAACGGUCUUAAUUAAUUUACUUCCUUUUUAAGCCAUUCAAAUUUGUUUUGAAAAGUUUUACAAUAUGUCAUGGCGAAAUGCCUUGAGGCUUUCACACAGGACAGGACCACACAAUUUCGAAGAAACCUGCUCAAAGAUUGUAUCAUAUUGCAAUAAACAAUUACUGAAAGAGGGCAUUUGUGUCCACAGCCCAAUUAUCAAAGCGGGUUUUCAAGAUAAUUUAUGGAUCAGCAAUAACUUGCUCGCUCUGUAUUCAAAAUGCCAUGGAGUUGAUCAUGCACGCCACUUCUUUGAGGAAAUGCCAUGCAAGGAUGUUGUGUCCUGGUCUGGAUUGUUGUCUGCUUAUGUCAAAGAUGGUUGCUACGAGGAAGCUCUUGAGCUGUAUGAUUUGAUGAAGUCUUCUGGGGAAUGCCCAAAUGAGUAUACACUUUCGAUUGUGAUCAGGGCCUGCUCAGCUCUUCGGGAUCGUAACCAAGGAACUAAAGUCCAGGCAUGUGCAAUAAAGAGUGGUUUUGAUUCAAAUCCUGUUUUAACUAGCAGUUUGAUUGAUUUGUACUCUAAAUGUGAUAACAAAGAAGCAGCACAUAAGAUAUUCAUGAAUAUGCGGAAUGGUGACACUGUUUCUUGGACGACUAUGAUCUCUUCAUUUGUCCAAGAGGGGAGCUGGAUUACUGCGCUGAGACUUUUCAUAUGCAUGAUCAAACGAGAAAUUCAACCAAAUGAAUACACGUAUGCAAAAAUUUUGAGCGCAUGUGGUGGUCUUACUUGUUUAAAUUCUGGGAGAUUAAUCCACGCCAGGAUGUUAGUCUUGGGCAUUCGGCUGAAUUUAGUUUUGAAGACAGCUCUUACUGACAUGUAUGCAAGAUGUAAGAGAAUGGAAGAUGCUAUGAAGGUCUCAAAGCAAACUCUUGAGCAAGAUACAGUUCUAUGCACGACACUAUUGAGUGGCUUUUGCCAUAACUUGGAGAUCAAGGAGGCUGUUGAUGCAAUAGAGCAGAUGAUGGCCCAUGGGAUCACUCCAAAUAGUUAUACAUAUGCUGUAGUCUUGAAUGGCUGCUCAUUAGCUCUGACAUUGCAACUGGGGAUACAAUUUCACUCAAGGGUUAUUGAGAUUGGCUUGGAAAAUAAUGUUUCUGUUGGAAAUGCACUCAUUGAUAUGUAUUUGAAAUGUUCUGGUGGAAUAAUCGACGCUUUUAAAGUAUUUGAACAAAUAAGGUCACCAAACAUCAUCUCUUGGACUUCCUUGAUUUCUGGCUUUGUUGAACAUGGUCUUGGAUACGAGGCUUUUCAAGCAUUUGAAAAGAUGCAGUUUGCAGGGAUAAUGCCAAAUUCUUUUACCUUGUCCAGUAUCCUUCAGGCUUGUGGAAUGAUGAAAUCUGCAAAUCAUACAAGAAGAUUUCAUGGAUACAUAAUCAAAAUGAACAUUGGCCAUGAUAUAGUUGUGGCGAAUGCUCUUGUUGGUGCCUAUGCUGGACUCCAUAUGGUUGAUGAUGCAUGGCGUAUAAUAGGUGAAAUGCAUCAUAGAGAUGUUAUCACAUAUACAAGCAUAGCGAGCAAACUUAACCAAUUAGGACUUUUUGAAAUGGCUUUGGAAGUGAUCAGUUACAUGCAAGAAGAUAACAUUGAGAUGGAUGGGUUUACCCUGUCCACUGUCUUGUCAGCAUCAGCCAGCCUAGGUGCAAUACCACAGGGGAAGCAACUUCAUUGUUAUGCUAUUAAAUCUGGCUUCAGUGGCUGGACCUCAGUCUCAAAUGGUUUGAUUGCUUUUUAUGGCAAAUGUGGGUGCAUGCAUGAUGUAAAGAGAGCCUUUGAUGAAGCUUGUCAGCCAGACGUAGUCUCAUGGAACAGCUUGAUUUUCAGCCUAGCAGUUAGCGGUCAUGUCUCCUCUGCUCUCUCCACUUUUGAAGACAUGAAGUUAGCAGGAGUUAGACCUGAUUCCACAACAAUAUUGGCGGUUCUAUCUGCUUGCAGACGUUGUGGUUUGGUUGAUAUGGCUUUAGAAUAUUUUCAUUCUACUAGAGAAGCAAAUGAUGCAGUCCCAGAAUUAGAGCAUUACGUUUGUUUAGUUGACCUACUAGGCAGAGCUGGCAGGAUGCAGGAGGCAAUGGCUAUAAUAGAGACAAUGCCUUUCAGGCCUGAUGCAUUGAUCUACAAAACAAUGUUGAAUGCCUGCAAAAUACAUUCAGAUGUACCCCUUGGUGAAGAAAUGGCAAGUCGAGGUCUUGAACUUGAACCUUGUAAUCCAGCAUUUUAUUUGCUUCUUGCAGACAUGUACGAAAACUCCGGCAAAUCUGACCUAAGAGAGAAAACCUGCGGCAUGAUGAAAGAGAGAGGCAUAAUACAGAAAGAUUAUAGUAAUAGCUGGAUGGAGAAAAGCAACAAGGUCCCACUAUUAAUUGCUGGAGAUGUACCAUCUUAACAUGAUACCUGAACAUAGCAUACAGAAUGUAGAGCUAAAAUGGUAUUCAUACUAAAGCUCAUGAGAAUCCUAAUCUCAGAGUCUCGGAUUGGAAAUGGCAUGUGGUCUUCUUUACAACAGGUUUGUAAGCAUCCCAGACAAUAUGUCUAUACUUAUCAUGAUUUGUUGCGAAGAAGGCAACACAUGUUGAUAUUAUAGUUUCCUCGACAGGCACCAGCUUCAGUGUUAAUGAGGUGAAGGUCCCCGUAAAGCUGACUGGAUGGGGUAUGAGCAAGAUAAGGAAAUGAACCAAUUGUGACCGAGCUGCUUUCAGAAUUCAGAUAGAAAGAUGUUUUUGCUUCAUGCCAUGCUGAAAAGAUACAUUCUAACUGGCAAGUAACUUUUUUUCUUUUUUUUUGUAGAUUCAAGUUCAUAUAACCGUCUCUAUUGUCAUUUUUCAGAGUUUCUCUGUUUAAAAAACUGUACUAGCUGGAGGAGAUUCUUUGACAACUAGUCAACUACAGUGAGGAGGUGAAGGAAUGUUAGCUAGCAGAAAUUUCGGCUUUCGGACCAAUGGCAACAACUCGUUUUUCAUUUACUUUGGAUUGAGGGAUAUGGUCGAUUUGGGUUUGAGAUUCUUAUCCAAAUCCUUUAUAUAUCUGGUUUCCCAAUAGGUAUCUGGAAUUCUGGACUUGAAAUCCAACAUAAAAUUCAGAGGGAUUUUGGGAGUUUAAAAUUUCUCGAUUUCAAAUUCUUCCAUAUAGAUGUCAUUACCAUUCUCAAUCUUAGACCUUUCUCGUUUAAGAUGUAUUUUCUUGUAGCCUACUGUUCUGUGAGCAUGUACAAAUCAGGGAAAAAAUGGCCGGCGGCCAUUGUUGCCUGACAACGACAGAACAGCUAGGUGUAGACUAAGGAAAGGGCUAGAAUUUGAGUGCCUCAAUAUUUGGUGGAUGCGUGUGUGAUACAGAAGUUGUGUUGGCAAUUAUUGCUAUCGCCAUGCAGGAAAGGCGAAAAGCGCCAGAGACUGAAGCAGCGCAGCUGAAACGGUGGAAGGCUUCUUUGCCCCUGAAUGUGUUCAUUUCCUACCCCAAUAUUUUUGUAAAUUCUAAAUUCUCCUGUAAAUAAUGCAUUCAAUUUGGAAUAUUUUCCUACAUCCAAAUUCACAAUUCAAACGGUCCCAAAAUGAAUAAAGUUUACCGCAUAGGCAUCCCAUCCCUUUGCACUUCAAGAGCACAUCGGUCAUUGUGACAUCUACACGCCAUGGAGCGUUGUUGAAUCUUGGCCAACAAAGCUACUUAUAAAAUGUUCUAAAAAUCCUUGCUUCAAAUUGGUUCAUCCAACCUCUGUCCACUGGUUCGGGUCUGGAUCCUCCGAGGGCAUCGUCAAGAAUGAUAUCAUCAGCGCCGACGGAUUUUGUAGUUAGUUUGGACCAUAACCCCGAGGCCUGGGGAUGGAGUUGACCAAGCUGCAAAUGUUAACAACAACAAAAUAGUGGGUUGAAAGUUGACUGCUAAAACAGGGUUGACCGAAGCUUGAUCAUUACACAUGAACAGGUUUCUAAAUUGAACUUCUUAAUUUUAGAAAUUCUCAUGUUGACGAUGUCACACCUCUUUGAAUUUAGAAAUUCCUAUAUUUGUAUUUAUCACUCUCAGUUGCUGUUUUUUUUUUUUUUUUUUUUAAAUAAACUCAUUCAAAUUGAUAGACAUGCUAAUUGAGUUGAGCGACGCUACACAUCCAAGCACAGUUUCAAGCUCUUUGUUUACAUUGUAAUGAACAACUACCAAAAUUUGCGCCCAUUGGAAAGGCCCCAAGUUAUUAAGGUACUCAGUAGUCAGCCCCCAAGUUCAUUCAUGCCAAUUCAAUUCAUUCAAGUUUAUCUGUUGGAUUGUAGGUCAUGUAGGAAAGCCCCAGGCGGUCGGCAAGUUCUAUUUACGCUUUAGAAUAUUCCUGCGAAGAACUUACAAAAGAACGUGAACAAACAGAAAGAAGUAAACUGUUCUUGAUCAUCAGCUACACAACCAUAUACUGCAACAGUUUUUGCAAGGGAAGUAAUAGCAAACAGAAACACCGGUUUAAAGGAUUUAAACAGAAAACUGGGGACAAUCAACAUUCAAUCUAACUUUGAUGACCACCAGUUUAACUGAAAAGGUAAUAUAUAUGGUCCACUUUCUAACUCUGAUAUUGUUCAUGUGAAGGGGCAACGAAGGUCAAACGGAUCCCAAACUUGAGCAGGGUCAGCACAUAAAUAUAAUACAUAUAUUAACAAGGAACCCCCUCAACUUCAUAGUGAUUCAAGGGAAGGGUCAAUUAAGCUGACAGCAACAGUUUAACUACAUGAUAGCCAACCAACAGCAAGAACUCAAAUGAGAAACAAUAAGAAAUAAUGGCGCCUUGGGACAUGGGUGAAAUGGGCAUACUACCCUAAGUUGUUCAGUUAAACCAGAAUGCGGAUAGCUGCGGUCAAAUUUGGUAAAAGCCACUCAACUUCCGAUUAUUAACUAGUGGUUCAAUCUUUAAUCCCACAGAUAAACUCCGAUCUGAACAGAACUGUUUUUGUGAAAUUACAAAAAACAAGAGGGCACCGAUCAGUAAUAAACUUGAUGUGGCUCGGCAAAAAGAAGAACAAGCCAAAAGAAGAAGCUGUGGAGUGCUACUUAGAUUGCUGCUCGCCAGAUGCAAUUGCAGGCUCAUCUUUCUUUGAGCGUGAAACAGCAUCUUCCAAAGUGUUGGUAGAAACGGCCUCAAGCGUCCUAUAAAACUCUUCAGGAAGAGGACCAGGUCGAUGCAAGGGUAUAUGCUUUGGAACUGGAGCAUCAUUUUCGAUAACUUCACAUUCAUAAUCAUCUGGGAUACCCCAUGGUUUCCACUCUGCACUUGAAACAAAGACACCCAAGUGACCAAAACAUCAAAUUGGCAAUAUUUAACUGGAGACUUCCUCCAAAAUUAGAUGGCUCCAGUUUCAAGCCAUUUGAACCAGUAUAAACUUGGAAUUGGCAUCAAGAUUAGUAAAGAUAACGACUCUGGAGUGACAAUAUCAGAGUAGAAAAAGCAUUACAUCCUCUCGACAUUUAGAACAUCUACGUUUGUCAAAUGUGGUUUGAAAAUUUAAAUACAUAACCACCAAUACAACAAGACAAAUAUAGACAAUAGCCAUGAAGCUGAUCAACCAAGACCAGCAAAAUACUUCUUUUGUUGACUAGAUCAUGCACUCCCAAGUCACAGAUCAAUUUGCAAUUAGUUCACGUCAAUUUUUCACUGUUUAACAUUUGAAAAGGAGCAAAAUAGAAGAAGAGAUGACGAGAGCUUUUACUUCUUGACUCACUCAAUAAGACAUUACUACUUAAUAGUUUGCUCGCUCAAUUCUAUUAAACUAGGGUGCUUGGUUUCUUCUGACCUCAAACUAGCCAUAUGAAGGAACCUUGAGGUUCUUCACAGCUGCCGAGAAAUCAGAUAAGAAAGCAAAUUGCAAUCCAGAUUCUCAUAAUCAAUUAGAAAACAGAUUGUUAAAAAAAAUUACUAAUACCAACUCAUCAAACAAUUACCACUACCCUACUCCUAAGAUAACCAUUCACCUAUCAAAACCCAAAGUUCUAUUUUAUGCUCUGACCACUCCCCGGAAAACUCCCAAGUCCUUUCAAAGAAGUAAAAAAAAAAUAAUAAUAAUAAUAAUAAUAAUAAUCAGUGGUCAGUGCACAAGAAUAGUUAACAACUCUCUCUCUAGCUCCACUGCCCUCAUCAUCCCCAAAACUAAAAUGUCUAUAGAUUCACAACAGAAUAGGAUGAAAGCUUCCAAUGUCAGUCCAAGUCUUCGAAAACUUAUAGCAAAGAAGAUGCAAACUUAAGCUUUUUUUGAAACCGUACAAUGUCAUCUUCUCAAAAGCUCGUUCUAUAUCCUCAAAAAAAAAAAAAAAAGGAUAGAAGACCAAGCAGUAAGAAAGCAUACACUUAACUGUAGAACAUCCACUAUUUCCCAAAGCAACACCAUUUUCCCCCUCCCUCCCCUACAAGCAGUCCACAAACUUUCUCAAGAGCAAUUAAACCAACCAGAAAAUUUUAUUUGAUCACUUUAAAAAAAAAAAAAAUUUCACGGCAGAUGCAGGGAAAAUGCCACGCAUUUAAAAUAAUAAUAAUAAUAAUAAACAACGGAAGCGACUAGAAAAUCAUUCUUAAUUAUUUGAAAAAAAAAAUGAAAUGUAGAAUGCGGAUACCGAUCAUGUGGCCGAUGAGCUUGAGUUCAUCCUUAGCCUCUUCAAUAAGCUCUUCGACCUGGCCGCAACCCAGACGCUUCUCGAUCGAUUCCCAGUCCUCUUCCUCCCGGCACACCUUGAGCCGGUGGCGGGUGAAGCUUUCCACAGCCUUACGAUAUCCUUCAUCCUCGGGGACGGCCUUGAUCUCCUCUAGGGUUUUGCUAUACAGACUGAUUAAAACCUCCCUAGCAUUUGGCACAACAUCUAGCCCUACGAUCCCCGUCGUCUCCUUCACCUUCGCCAUCAUCAUUAACGGCCGAGCCACCCUCCGCAGAAACAUUCUGACUCGCUCUUUCUCUGGACAAGUUGACUCGAUGGGCAGAUCGUUCUGUGGCUCGCUUGCUCACUCAGUAUUGGAAUGGAAGUCAGAGCUGAAGUCUGAAGAUUACCAAGCUACACUCCGAAUGGGUUCCCUUUACUUUUCCAGUAAACGGUGCGAGUUACUCAUUGGGCCAUUUUGGAUUAUGGUCCAGCACCCAGGAGGCUGGAUACUGUAUUCAUUCAGAGGCUCACAUCCAAUGUUCGGCCUGCUUUUGGGGAUAUCUCGAAGGCACAUAUGGGGUUUUUAAACAAGUGUCCUAGCACGAUGUUCGCCAUGUGUAUGCUCACUGUUCGAGAUAAUCAAUUUUUUAAGUUUAAAGGAGCGGUGCUAAUUUUUCCCUUUUAACUUUCAUUAAUUGGUCCUAUUUGAUAAUUCAAUUCAACGUUUAAAUUUAAUGGAUUCAGAUCUUAACAUAUUCAGAUAUGUUUGAUAACAAAAACUGAACAUCUGGAUUAAUUAAGUAAUACUAAAUUUUUCAGACAAAAUUUAUUAUAAAAAAUAAUAAGUAAUAAACUAUUCACUUGUUAACGCAUACUCAAAUGUACCAGAUUUAAUAUUUAACAAUUUAAUAACGUAAUAGAUUCACAAUUCGAAUUACAUAUUUCAGUUUUAUCAUACUCACCCUUAGUGUCUUUGGCGACCAAUCUCACUGGAAUGGGCGUGCCGAGCAAGGAAUGCUCCGCAUUUAUCGUCCCGUCCCUCUGUCACGUGUCGCGUGUGGGGCCCACCUGGCGGGGGACACGUGUCGAUCAUCCCUACUGCAGCGGGGGCAUUCGAAAUUCGAUUGAUCGAUACGGUGCGUUUCGAAGAGCAAAAAUAAAAUGGCCAACACGAGGGACAUGGCAAGAUUCUUCAGGGUCGUGAGGGACAGUGACGUCAUCUGGGUAGAGCUGGGAACUGUUUACAAUCGUCUUCCCUUUGACUGAGUCCACUGUUUCUCAUCAGAAAACGCAUAACGCAUUACCUCCCAGACACCUCAUCUUGGUCGAAACCAAGAUUUAAGGGCAAUAUUCAAUGGAAAUACCAAGAUUUUCUAGAUUCCAACUUAAUUUGUGCAAACAGGACUAGACAAAACUAUACAUAUUCAAUGUGCGAGAGGUCGAUAGCCUACGAAGUCUAGUUGCCUUAUUUAGUGGGGAAGAAUGAAAUGCCAAAAAGAUGGAUUGAAUCAAUCUAUUAUCCACCCAAUUAAAUGAAUUUAAUUGAAUACUCAUUUAGAUCAAUUCAAAAUUAAUGGAUGAAUUAUCGAUGAACAGAUUUAAAGAAAUUAACAUAAUUAAAUUGUGAUUAACGACUCUAAUUGUCCCUAAGAACAGAUGAUGAGAAAAUAGAGUGUGGGAAUCGGUUUCAGGCGUGCGCGUCUCUAAGUGACGUGUAUUGUUUGCGCUGAAAGAGCGAAAGUUGACUUUCUUCCACCUCAUAAUGAAGACAAAACUACUAUCAUUCAUACAAGACUAAGCCGAGUCCAUUAAAUCUUAAAAGCACCCGUAUCUCCGCUUUUUUUCUUGACUUUCCUCGUGUAGCUAACAACAACAUAUAUCAGUUCCUAAUAAAACUGAAUACAUCAGUAUUCAAACAUAUUUGAUUAUUUUAACGAAUUUAAAAUUUUAUUUUAUUUUUACAAGAUCGAGUUUAAACGAUUUUUUUUUUAUUGAAUUUAAAGGUUAUCAAACAUAAAACGUUAUUCAAGUUUGAUUUGACUAGUUGAUAAAUCAAGUUCUAACGAGCUUUUAUCGGAUCGAAUAGUUUGUUCGUCUUUAAGCUCUAAUAGCAAGAAAUGAAUGACAUGUUUGUUCAUUAACCUUUGCAUUGUAUUAUAUGGUAGAUUCAUUUCCAAUCCAAUCUGCUAAUAUAUUGGGCUAAAGAUGAAGUUGGAUUAAAAUAUUCGGCACAAAUUUACAAAAUGAAUCUCGUGACCUUUUCAGUUUCUUUUUUCCCUUUUUAUCAUUCGAUAUCUCCUUUCACUUACAAAUUCUGUCGGAAGCAAGCGGGCCUUGCAUUAUGUAAUAGUGGUCAACUAUUUGAUGCGUAACGCAAAUGAAAAAUAACCAGUCAUUUUAUAAGGUCCCGAAACAGUCAAAUGAAAGAAAGACCAAUUAAAUCUAUUUUCCAGGUGAAAUUGCGGGGAAUGUUUGUCCCAUGAGCUCCUCAACGAUGAUGAAAGAUAGAAUCGUCUCUUUUAGGAAUUCCAGGACAGACUCAAAAUUUGACUCCAUGGGAUGGUUGGCUCGUGGCUGGGCACCUUUUAUUCUAUACAAAACUUCACCCAACAAGCACACGACCGACUGAUCUUUAUAAGCUGCUAAUACUUUGACAAAGCUGAAGUCACAAAUCCAAAGGAAUCACAGGCUAAAAGAAAACAAGAAAGUUGGGUGGAGGAUAAACACAGUUUUAUUUCUUUCAGGAUCACCUCAUUAAUUGGGCAGCCGGCCACUGAGCAAGCAACAGCUUGCGGAUGUCCAAGUCCAAAUGUCUCGAAGUUCCCGGGCCAACUACUAAGCAGCCGUCGCAGCAGGCGAUGAGAACAAAAUCUUCACUACCACGUCACGUACGACUGCGAGUUAUCACCAGGCUACCACUUCAGACUUUAGUUCUUAAAAUGCAAGCCCUUGAAGAAACGAUCAUCAUUCACGAGAGCAUAGUUAGGAAUGAGAAUAUCAUCAUCCCCGUUCCCAUCGCCAUCAUUUUCAUCAUCGUCAUCACCAUCAUCCGCCCACCCCUCUACCUCCUCCUCCCCUGACAAUAAUAAUUCUGCGCCGUAGCUGUUGUUGUUUUCGUUAUCUGCAGUCUCUUGAUCCACAUUUUCGUCUACGCCACUGUCGCCUUCUGUUAUGGGCGUGGCGGUUGGAGAGAAACUGGAAGCAGAGGCUGGAGAUGAUGAAGAACAAGAAGCUAUUGAUGAGGAGGCAAUGUUAUGGAUAUUAGUGGUGGAAGUAGUAGUAGCGGUGGUGGUGGUGGGGGGCCUGGCGGCGGCAGCGGCAGCGGGAGGUACUUUGCUGCGGGUAGUACCAGCGAGGGAGCUCCGGUGCGUAGGACGGGGGUGCGAGUGUUCCCCGCUGUAUGAGACCACGUACAUGCUAGGAUCCGCAGGGCAUCGCUCCACUUGUUUCCUCGCUGUACAUCCUUUCGAGGUGCUACAUCUGUAGUAGUUUCUGAUUGAUUUUUUAUUCCAACAAAACUAUCUAGUGUCAUUGCUCAAUUAUCCGGAAAGUUAAAAUUAAUGUGACGGAACUUUUCCUUGCAACAGUUCAAUGUGAUGACCAAAUAAUUGGGAUAUAGCCGGAAUGGGUGAUCAAAGAGAAAAAACCUUGGAUACGGGGAAUCUUUAAUUGGCUUUUGACCGUAUUUUCUCCAGGCCCAUGAAUCAGCUGAUAAUUCUUCUUGUGUCAUUUGUUGAAUCCUCUUGGCCUGCUGGUUUUUCCUGUGUUAGGAAGAUGCUAUUAAUUUGCAUUUCUUGAAACACUUAAAAAUAUGGUGUCAAGAUUCUAUGCUAGUUUCGAUUCUUCUCUAUCGUUGAUUGGAAUUGUAUAAUAAUAUUCAAAAGCUGAGCCACAUUAAUUCUAUUCUAUGACGUACAACUUGAUUUAGUUGUUAUUUCGACUCGAUCUGGGUUGGAAGAUCCAAAAAUAGUGAGUAUUCCUGGAGUUUUCUAGUAAAUGCUCGCUUACCUUCUUCGCGGCCUUUCGGGCUGAGGACUUGUAGAUGGAAAAGAAAGGGAAGCACCAACAAACAUCUCACGGCUGAGGUGUGAAUAUCUUUGCGGUUGCUGCAUCAGCUGCUGUGGUUGUCCAUAUAUCCGUUGCUGUUGAGGUGUCUGAUCUGCUGUGCAUCCAGGGCCUUGGAUUGCUUGGAUGUGCUGAGCGUGUGAAUUAAGGUCGACGAAAGAUUGUACUAUAUCCUCGUACGGUUCCUUGUAAAUUUCUUCGAGUCCCCGAAAGGAGUCCCUCGUGUGAUUUGCAAAGCCCGGAAAAUCAGAUGAAGUGUGGCCACUUUGAAAUGAAGGGGAAGCUAGGAAUGACGCCGACAACGACGUCUCCCCCGAUGGCAGGCUGCUGUUCUCAACAGGGGCUAUGGCGGCGUCAGUCGUAGUGGAUGAGGAGGCUGUUGAUGUAGCAGCGGCGUUGAAGCAGCUCCUCACCACCGCAUACAAGUCCCAGUCAUCAGCCAUAUGUUGAACGAUUCAUCAGGGCCGGGAUAUACACUACUUAGUGCACACACCUCCAGUUCUCCAAUCCCACCACUCUGCUUACGCUUGGCUUCAGAGUCCAAAAAAAACUACAAACAGACAAAGGGGCACAGGCACGGGCACGGGCACGGGCACGGGCACAGGCUUUAUUUUUUCCCCUUUUUCCUUAAUGCUAAAAAUCAUCAGUGUUGUCCUGUCCACUAGCGUACUGUAGCAUUUUGCAAAUUGGAGAUGGGAGACAAAAGGUGGAAAAAUCAGAGGGGGCCCGAGGAGGACGGCGCUGACUUUUGGAAGAGAUUUUUAAUCUUGUAGUAUAAUCAAUAAUGCAAAUGCAGGGGGAGCCUAUUAGAAUGGAGGAGUGGGGUGAAGAGAAGCAAAAGAUACAGAGACAGGCUCUGACCUUGAUUCUUUUGUUGCCACUGGUAUCUCUCUGUCUAUUUAUACCCGAAGAGGAAUAUAAAGAUUUUCCACAUUGUCUCUGUCUGUCGAUGGAGAGAAGCAAAGUGGUUCCGGAGUCAGCGCUUUGGCAUCUUUGAUAUGGAAUAAGAUAUGCCUUGAGCUUCUGAGAUUGACUUUGCAGCAACGUCAAAGUGGGGGGCUGGGAGUUGAUAAGGCGUGUCCUAAUGCCAUACUCCUGGCCUAGGCAGGUACAACUUCAACCUGCACAGGACUUUGCGCUUUUAAUCUUCCAAGCGUGCAAAUUUAUCGAUUGUGUGGGAAUAAUAAUGUUUGAGACGUAUAGACCUUAUUGUUGUAAGAAUAUUUCGUUCUGGGUAUAAAAUUUCAAUUGAUCUACUUUUCUUUCUUUUUUUUUUUUUUGAGACACGAUAGACAUAUAUUUAUUCUAUACUAUGAGAAGGGAGGCCUGAAGAAACCAAGAAAAAACCAUCACCACCGUCCGUCUGGAAUCAUUUAAAGUGACAGAUCACAUAUAGUGAUAGAUGGUGGGACAAAUUUUGAGUCAUUGAUCUCCCGCCCCGUCAAAUCUUACAGGCUUUGGUGGUAGCCAUUGAGCAAAGCACAGUGAUUAAUUGAUCUACUUUUCUUGUGCAACAAUAGAAUUGUGCAUCAUGCAACUUUUAGCCGAAUUGUGUACCAAAUUUUUGAGCUUAACUUCUGCAGUCGUAUAUUUGUUAUACUACCAUAUAUAUAUCAUUGUGAAAAUAGAGCUCCAGCCUCCAAAAACCUCCAAUGAUAUGUUUGGAGAAACUUUUACACCCUCCCCAGUUCAACCCCAAGUUGGCAAAUGCUCCCACUGUGAUGGCCACUUUUCGCGAAACAGUGGAGGAAAGAUUCCAAUUUUCUAUGACUUGCGUCAUGCCAUCAUGAUCCCUUCCAGAAUUUGCUGGCUCUCAAGGAAUAUGGUCCGCGUCCAAAAGAAUUUUGGAGUGGUUAAAACACAAAAAAAAAAAAAAAAAAUAGUAAAAGGGCAAGCCGAAGUCUGAAAACACAAGCACAUAACCAUUCGUUCCGACUAGGAAUUGCUUAGCGCAGGCAGGCCUAUCGAUGCAAAUAUCCUUGGUUAAGAUGGAAAAGCAAUGUAAUGGCCUGUGCAUACGUACAAUUAUUUGUUAAUUGUACAGACUAAAGUUUAAAUUAAUGAGAAAAGUUAGAAUUUAUGGGCAUCCUACGGCAAACAAGAAAAACAUAUGACAUAAUCCAAAAGCAAAACAAAAGAAAAUGGGGCAUUUGACAGACCUCUUUUGAUUUUCGUUACGUCGGUUUGAAGAUGCUGAAAGAUCGAUUAUGUUGGUUUUUCUUUCAUAGCCCUUGUUCCCCUCGAUGUAGUCAAGACCCAUAGAGCUGCCAGAGGCUUACUCUAUUCUAAAGAUGCUGUUUUGAUCCUCUACUUUGUUAGAGGGUUCGCAUCUCAGAUGGUCCUGGUUCAACCAAAAUCAAAUGCUAAAGCCAAAGAUAUGGUAAUCUUGUAACCGGUGGUGGUAGAUCCUAAGAGGGGUCAAUUUCUAGCAGAAGGGAAACAAAUAGCAGCUACUACAGAAAGAACGAAAGGGCAUGGCUCGCAGAUUCGGCUUUGCUGGUACCUGGCAUAGGAAUGUUGACGUAAUAAAGCAAGCCAGUAACACUAGCAAUCUAGUCUAUCUCAACACAAGAAAAAGGGAAAGUGGAAACCAUUUCAAGGGAAUUCAAGCAUGCAUGGGGAUCUCUAUCUCUCUCUUUUUUUACACAAUAACAAUAACAUUUCUAUAAUCUAAUCUACCCUAAUUUAGGGGGAGGGGAGCUUAAAGAAGCUAUAUAUAAGAGGCUAACAGACAUAAUAAGAACAUAGUAAAUCAAAGGAGUGUUCUGACAUAUUCUUUAGACUUUUUUCACUGCAAAUAGGGUUCGAAUCCCUGGCUUACAGUUCAAAGAGGGACUCCAGCUCUUUUUUGGUGAUGCAUUGGGAUAUAAGAUACUGAGAUUUGGUUAACCGAUGGAUGGUGUUUAUUACCACAAAAAAAUUCUUUAGAAUUAAGGGGGGGGGGGGGGGGGGUGAGAGUUAAAGAGGGAUACUUGGGGUUGAAUAGGAUAACUUAAUCCAAGACGUACAUGCGGAUCAACAAAAGAACUGCAAUUUUAAUCAAACCGAGGAAGGAAGUAUCCAACUACUGGACCGCCGUACCAGCCAUAUAUAAUCAGUCAAGAAGUGUUCAAUGGAAAUUCUCUUCAGUUCAAAACAAAUACUCACUUAAAAAGAGGAUGCUUAAUUUGGAUUGCUGGCCUUCUUCCACUAAAUACUCACUUAAAAAGAUGGUAUGAUCGAUCGUUUCAGGAUCAAUGAUGAUUACAGUUUGGCAAACGUUGAACAGAAACUUGGGUGUAAUGUAAUCAUAGAGAUAUCAUGUGUAAUAGGGACACGAUGAAUAACUACAGGUAUCGUCGUUGAUGAAUGGGAUACUUUAAUGAACAGCAAGUCGAAGAAAAUUAAGUCGAACUAACUGGCAUUCUUUGGUGCCUGUGUUCAGCGUCUACAUCAGCAUGUUGCUUUACGGGAUCUUUUUCCAGGUUCAAAGAAAGGGGAGGGAAGGAAAAAGCAAAAGUGCUUGCAAAAGUGCUUGAGAGUGAAUCAGCUAUUUCCGAUUAAUGCAUCUCCCAGAAAAGUUAGGCCAUCGACUUUAGAGGCUUGGUUGUAGUUGCCGUGCCCUUCGUGGAGCCGGAGGGUGUUUUUAACUUGGUGUCAGUCACCAUUGGUGGUGGGUUUGGCCGAAUAAAAGAAAAGACGGCCACUUCCUCUUUGGUGAUUCCUCACUUUUUUUCUGUUCCAUAUCUAUUCGAGGGGGAAUUGGUCAACCAGCUUGACAGCACAGCACUUGGUGAUACACUGUGUGGUGGUGGGUGGCACAGAAUGGUUUGGAGAAUCGCGACGCACCACGGAAAUCUACAAUGGUGAAUAGGACAAAAUUUUGAGGUACAAGUACAACAACCACCACAGCUUGCAGCUUAGCUAUAG
RNAcentral lists this long non-coding RNA (65297 nucleotides) under Coffea arabica (coffee). RNAcentral describes it as "long non-coding RNA (CARA_LNC000859)". Lineage: Eukaryota; Viridiplantae; Streptophyta; Magnoliopsida; Gentianales; Rubiaceae. The record is from RNAcentral.